This 54820-nucleotide long non-coding RNA is filed under the name Sorghum bicolor (sorghum). RNAcentral describes it as "long non-coding RNA (SBIC_LNC010062)". The record is from RNAcentral. Lineage: Eukaryota; Viridiplantae; Streptophyta; Magnoliopsida; Poales; Poaceae.
AAGAGCACAAGUAGAAUUAGACUUUCACCAUUGUUAUCACCAUUAUCACCAUACACCAUUCAUUCACCACACAUGCACAUCUUGAUUUGACUUUUUGACAUGUUUCUCUGGAUCCAUGGUUUGACUAUGCAAUAAAUGUCUUGUAAGUAUGUAUAAUUUAUCUCCCACCUAUGAGCUCUAGAUAUCAAAAGCCUUAUUAAAAGUAGGGUGAGAGAGAAGGCAAUGUCACUAUACCUCAUACCACAAAUACUACAUACUUUGAGAGAAGGCAUAUACCAUCACUGCCUUAGUAAGGAUCUAGAAAUACCAUAAAAGAGAGAUCUGAGAGAGUCAUACAAGGAAUUUCUGAGUUUUAUUUGAAAAUCUGCAAAAAACUCCAGAGCUAUAGCUGAUCAAGAAUGAGAGACAUGGCGCUUGACUAGACCGUUAUAUCUUUUAACUGCUCAAGACAGAAGUGACGAUUACAAGUCCCAUGGUGAAAGGUAAAAUGAGUAUGCUUUAAGUCUUGACAGUUUACUCUAACUCAGAGAUAAGACCUCAUUUAAAAGCAUGUGUACCAUCAACUUUUAAAGGCAUUACAACAACUUCUGAUCCAUCACUGAGAUUAUCCUUGCUCAGGGACGAGCAAGAGGUAAGCUUCGGAGAGUUUGUUGACGGUCCUUAGGUAUCAAAUAUAAUCCAAAUGCAACCGAUACCUAGACUUAGGGUUUUAUUUGACAAAAUUCCACGAGUUUUGGUGUUUGUCUAUUUCUGCAGGGGGUUAUCAGGAAAUAUGGACAAAAGGCCCACACGUCGGGUUUACAUAGAGAUAUUAACGUGCACCGCAAUUAUCCAACAUCUAGAAGAGUCCAGAUGCCACGGGAACGAGCGGGAAGCCGAUCGGGCCCGGGGGCAGGGCUCCCGCCCUCCCGCCUUGGGCGCCCGCCCUGGCCUGAGGGCCAAUCAGCUUCCACCUCACGGAUCAUGCUCCACCGACCUAUGGGAUUAAGGAAAACAUUCAUUUGGAAGUACUAUAUAAGCAGACCCGCUGGCCCCUGGAGGAGGGGAGAGAGGAAACCCUAAUUCAUUAUCCAUCUCGGGAGAAGAAGUCUCUGAUCAAGCCCUAGAGCCACCACAUCAACUAGAUCUCUAGUUUAGCAUAGCUACAAAGGAUCAGAACUAGGAGGAGUCAAUCUUCGAUUGGUUUCCGGAUGUGUCAAGAGGAUUCUUGGUAAUUCCUCUAUUGUUCUUCAAUUGUUCAUAUUUGUUCUUCAAUAUUAUGAAUAUGACUUUGUUCUACUUCAAUAUAUUGAUUAUGACUUUGCUCUACUAGUUUAUAUUUGCAAUUAUAUUGUUCUUAGUUUAUCAUAGUUAUAUGCUUGGCUUAGUUAGAUUGGAAUUAUAUACAUGUUUAGGAUCAUAUAGCGUUUAUCCAUGUGUACAGUGGGUAAAUGAUAAGUAUUGUGUACGCGUGGUGCCUAUACUGUAUUUAUCUGCGAUUGUACCCUAUAUGCCGGAUCGCGGGGUAGUUUGUGGUAGUGACAGCUCCAUUGAUUCUUAUAUAGUCCCCCUCUCAUGUAUAGGGCAGGCAGAGCAACAUUAUUAUAGGGGAGUGAUUGCUAUGUUUCUCAUCUUCCUUGAUAAUAUCACUAUACAUCCUAAUUCCAUGCUAAUGACUUGCUAGAAUAUCUGUUGAGGUGCUUAUCAUUAUUAUAUAUGUGGCUAGUUAUGCUGAUCAGAUUAAUUGUCUUUGUCACCAUUCACACUCUAUCUAUAUUUUAUGUGACAUUUAUCCCUAUAUGAAAGAGAUAGAUAAUGCUCUCUAUUACAAAUGUAAUAAUAGAUACUCAAUUCUAUAUUCCAUACCAUAAUCAACAUUAAUGUUUAGCAAUCCCUUCCCAGUGGUAAAAAUACAAAUAACGAUACCUGGAAUACUUCCCGAUUAAAAUGCUACAUCGGUAUUAAUUUGUGCGCUUGUCAUGCUUGGGAUGACAACUUGGCUUAAGUGGCAUGAGGGAUAGGUUCGGCAUUUUUGGCGCCGUUAUCAGAAUUAGAAAACUAAGUCUACUUUUGGUAAUGACGUUAAGAAUGCCCAACACGAAUUAGAUUACCUCCUAGAUGUAGAGCCUCAACCCUAGUUAGCUGAAACCAACCCUUUGCUAGACACACCAUCUACUUCAGCUAACACUUGUCUAGAGCAAGAAAGAGAAGAAAUUCUGUUUCUAGAUUUUAUGUUAGACAUAGAACCUGAUCUCUUUUCUGAAUUUGGAAAUGUUUUGAAUAAUCACUCUGUGAAGAGGCCAUAGAAAAAAUCUAGAGAGUCUUUUAAUCCCCCUAAGGAUAUUCCUUCUAGAAGAACCUCAAGAGAAUUAGUAUCUGUUAUAAGUAAUGAAUGGUUAGAAGAAUCAGAGCUUUCCACUGAAAUAAUCCGCUUAGAUUCAUCUUCUAUUCUGAUUCAUUGCAUAAUCAAUAUAGAUCAAAUAAAAGCUCUCUAUAAUCAAGUUGUGGGGAUAAAUAUCAUGUCUAUAUCUCUUGCAGAACAUUUAAUACAAGACUUGACAUUAAUCCCAACAAUAAAAUUCAUGAGAAGUCUCUCCAGACAUAUUAUUCCCAGUUUAAGAAUCCUACACAUCCUACCCAUUCAGGUAGAAGAAACCCCUGUGCAUUUAAGCAUUUAUAUAUUUAACACAUGGGACUUCGACCUGUUGAUAGGACAAUCUUUUAGAUGACUUCUCUAUGAAGGACAAUCUAGGAAGCUAAAAAUUUGCUUAGGCAAGAAACUUCAAUUCCCAUUGUACAUCUCGCACUCUUUAAACUCUAGGACCGGACCUUAUCCACAAGAAGACCUACUACAGGAACUUAGAGCUGCAUCCUUAGACUUUUUAGCCAAACCAGGAUUAGAAGAUGAAGCUAGAUUCUUCAUAGAAGAAGAUGCUAACCCUUCUGAGGAAGAACCUUUAGAUGAGUUUGCAGUACCACAUAAACUUCCUAUUGAGCUUAAACCUUUACCAACCGGUCUUAGAUACAGUUUUCUAGGUAACGUUCCAGAGUCUCCUAUCAUUAUAAUUGAUAAAUUCACUCAGGAACAAACUUUUCGUGUUAUGGAGUCCUAGAAAAACAUCACUCGGCCUUUGGAUACUCACUCAAGGACCUCAAGGGAAUUAGUCCUGCUGUUUGCACCCAUCGCAUUCUUACAGAUCCUAAUAUUCCACCAUCUAGAGAACCCCAACAUAGACUCAAUAAUGCGAUGAAAGAGGUUGUAAAGAAGGAAGUUUUGAAACUGUUGUAUGCAGGCAUCAUUUAUAUUGUGCUGCAUAGUGAGUGGGUAAGCCCUAUUCAAGUUGUACCUAAAAAGGGAGGUAUGACUGUUGUCCAAAAUGAGAGGAAUGAGUUAAUCCCUCAACACACCAUCACAUGAUGGCAGAUGUACACAGACUAUAGAAAGCUUAAUAAGGCAACUAAGAAAGAUCACUUUCCAUUGCCUUUCAUUGAUGAGAUGCUAGAGCAGUUAGCUAACCAUUCCUUCUUUUGUUUCUUAGAUGGAUAUUCAGGGUAUCACUAAAUCCUUAUCCACCCCGAUGACCAAAGCAAAACCACCUUUACAUGUCCCAAUGGAACCUAUGCCUAUCACAUAAUGUCUUUUGGGUUAUGUAAUGCACCUACUUCUUUUCAAAGAUGUAUGAUGUCUAUAUUUUCUGAUAUGAUUAAAAAGAUUAUGGAAGUUUUUAUGGGUGAUUUUUUUGUUUAUGGAAAAACUUUUGAUGAUUGUCUAGAAAACUUAGAUAAGGUUUUGCACAGGUGUGAAAAAAAGCACUUAGUCCUUAAUUGGGAAAAAUGUCAUUUUAUGGUUAGAGAAGGAAUAGUGCUAGGACACUUAGUGUCUGAAAGAGGCAUUGAGGUAGAUAAAGGUAAAAUAGAAGUGAUUGAACAUUUACCUCUGUCUGUUAAAGUAAAAGGAAUUAGGAGUUUCCUUGGCCAUGCUGGUUUUUAUCGUAGGUUUAUAAAGGAUUUUUCAUUUAUUGCUAGACCUCUUACUCGCUUAUUGGCUAAGGAUGUUCCUUUUGAAUUUGAUGAUGCAUGUUUACAAGCUUUUGAAAUUCUUAAGAAAGCACUCAUCUCAGCACCAAUCAUUCGACCCCCUGAUUGGUCUUUACCUUUUGAACUUAUGUGUGAUUAUAGUGAUUAUGCUGCGGGGGCCGUAUUAGGACAAACUAAAGCCAAAAAGCAUCAUGCAAUAGCUUAUGCUAUCAAAACUCUGAUAGGACCUCAACUUAAUUAUGCUACAACUAAAAAGAGCUCCUAGCUGUUGUUUUUGCAAUUGAUAAGUUUAAAUCUUACUUAGUGGGAGCUAAAGUAAUUAUUUAUUAUGAUCAUGGUGCUAUAAAAUAUAUUACUUUUUAAUUCUAGGGUGAAGCUCUUCGGGCAUGGAAAACUUCGAAGCAAAUGGGAAGGACCGUUCGAGGUGGUGAGUGUUGGCAUUUCUUAGCGUCACUACUAAAGAUAGACUAUAAAUCCAUCAUUAGCAAUGGCACCAGAAAUGUCAGGUGUUGGUAUACCAUAACUAUCGUUACAUCAGAGAGAUAACCCAAGGCCUUUAAUGGCGCCGCCCUUAGCAGUGCAGUCUGGUAACAAUAAUUAGGAAUGCCGGAUUGGCCAUCCUAAUCAUCCUUACUUACUUACGAUAUGCAAUGCUAUAGCAUGGCGCCAGAUAAAUGCACAGAGUUUACAAUCUUAAGUAACGGUACUUAGGUACGCCAAUCAAUAGUUCAUGAAUAUAAAUAAUAAAACUGCAAGCAAACAGAACUAUCAUUGUAGCAUUUCAACCCGUGAGUUUUGAAGGUUAUCAUAUUUAAUCCCAUAGGAAGGCGUAACAAAUGUAUCUAGCUUGGUUUGUAGCAUGAUCACUUAUUGAGAUGCAUAGGUAGACAUAGUCUAAUCAAGGGUCACGACAGGCUCUUAAAAUAUGGAUAGUGGACACACUCAUCGGGGCAACCUCAAGGAAUAAAUAGAAAAUAAGGAAAUAAAAGAAAUAAAGAACAACUACUUGAGCCGGCAUUGAUCUUAUAUAACUAUCCAAAGAAUUGUUAGUAGAAUAUCUAAUCAAUAUAACUAAAGUUAGAACUAAGUCUGAGGCUCUAGGGAGAUCCCUGCAGCUGGACAUCCAGCCGAUAGGGACUUUAUAGAACUCCUACCGGAAUACCUGAUCGUGGGGAAAUACCAGGGAUGACAGGGCUGUCACUACCCUGCCACCUACCCCUCUACCCGAAAGAUACCCGCGCAUCCGCUGAUCUCCGCAUACCUGAGCACCUCGCACGUGUAAUUGGAAACGCCUCCUAGCUUCCCAGGACCCCAACCCUUCGGAUUGACAGGCUCGGCUAAGAGUGACCAUCACAGCCCAACGAACCGUUACCCCAAUCUUAAUCCUUUGUCUAUUCAUACUAAUUCGAUGAAUGAUGAAGAACAUGGAUGAACACAUCAAGAAUAUAGCACAAGAACUAAGAACUAGUUCAUAUACUAUGAACAAGAUAUGAACACAACUAUACUCUAAUUCAAUUGCAUAAUCAUAUAAAUAAGAUAAGAACUUGCUCAUGGAGGAGUACUGAAUUGUAAUCAUACCAAGAAGCUCUAAGAUCAUCCAAGGAGACAAGCUCUCCUUGGUAGCUUUGCCUUGCUCUACUACUGAAUCUAAACUAAAGAACAACUGUAGAAAUGUGAGGUGUAUUGCACCAAAUGAUGGUGUGUGUAUUGAAUGGUGUGGAGCCAUCUAUUUAUAGCCCAACAAGGAUGGUUCAUGGUGAUCUAAAUUUGGUAGGAGGUGAAACCGUCCUAUGCAUGCCGCCAUGCAACUGCCUCAAAAAGGUGGGACCGAGUUGCCGCCACGGGGGUUGCGCCCGCACCAGGGUGCGCCCGUACCAGUGGUGGGCCCCCCUGGCCACCGCCUUCGCAUGGUCGGUUCGUCUCUGGGCCCUGAUCCUUCUCAUGGUUACGGAUGGAUCCAGUUCGGUGUUUUGGUGAGCUUUUCCAUUUAUCUUUGAUUUGCACCUUUUCUGAAUAUACUUUGUUGAAGUGCGCUUUCUCGUGUCUUUUGCGCCAUUCCACGUGUCAUACCUGAAAUUGAUAUUUGCAAGAAAACUUGUGGAAAGGUUAGUUCAAAGCCCUACCAUCUAUUUAUUUUAUUUAUUAAAAUGAUGUUUACAUUUAUAAUAUAAGGAGUACCAACAACUCCCCCACACUUGGUCCUUUGCUCGUCCUUGAGUGAUGGCACUAAAGACCAAAUGGUUUCAUCUUCCUUGUCAAAAGAAUCUACAUAUAGGUUAUUCCCAGCUUCACCUGGAUUUAUGAACUUCAGAGCGUCUACCAAGCUAUCUUGGGUAAUUGAAACACGGAACAGCCUGGAUUCAAAUCCUCUUACAUAGAAGAAACUUGGGGUUUUGCAAGAUUUUGAAAAAUAAAGAUAGCAUAUUUUUCUUGAAUGAUACUCUCAAGUUCCUCCUAAUAUGUGAGUGGUUCCUUACCAAGGCAUAAAGAGUGAUGCCUUCUUUUUGAUCAUCCUACUUCUAAAAGGCUUAUCUGGAGUUUUGGGUAGGUAUGAUGGUGGAACUUACUUACCCUGCAUAUGUUGUCGAGUCAAACCCAGGACCAUACCAGAGGGAGUGCGCCAUACCCUUAGAUUAGAAUGUGCAAGUGUGUGGAAUUUUUGGUGGAAUCCUAUCACUACUUUUAUUGCAACAUUCCUUGCAUCAAGACUCUCUUUUGAAAUGAGAUGAAAAACUUGAGAGGAUAUGGGCUAUAAAACAUUUUUUUGGACGGGUAUGAAUUUUCCCCGUUUUGCCCCUUUGGCUUUUUCUCAUAAUAAAUUAAUUAUAUAUAUAUAUAGCCCAUUCCUAUAAUUCUGAUGAAAACAAAAGAGAGCUUUAUGAUAAUAAAUGCAAGGAAUGUAUAUGAAUGCACAAUUCUCAGGGUGAGAUAUUGGCAUUUAUAUUUGGUGGAUAUAUAGCAACCCUUAGUGUAAGAGUUGACGAAAUUUUGGGUGGAUGGAGAAAGCAUGUUGUGCGUGACUUCUCAGUGUGAGAGUCGGCUUUUAUAUGAUGGGUGCAAGUGAAUUCUGAUCUUAGAGGCAUGAAACAUCUCUCGACAACGGUCCACAAAUUUGACCAAACUGAACACAGAGCAAGCAGCAUAUGUAGAAGGUUUAAUCAUGAACAAAUAUUUGGCCAUGGUAGGAAUAAAGCUUGAUCAUUCAAGAAACUUCCUAUUGAAUUUUGCGUUUUAUAAAAGAAAACCCAAGUACUUUGCAAGAACCAACAAGCAUCAUGUCAUCCUACUAUAUCGCAUACGUCAAUUACUUAGAUAAAAUGAGGUCCCUAUAACAAGUGUUCACAAAUCUCUAGGGAUAUUAGCUAAGAAUAAAAAGUAUGCAAAAACAUAUUUGAACAUAGGAGACAUGUUCGAUGGAGUACGAAGGUAACAUCAUUUUAAACAUUUCAUUUGAAAAAUUUUUUUGGGGGAAGAGGGUUUGCACAGACCGAGAUUUUUGAUUAAAUAGUCCUUCCCCCACACUUGUUUUCUUUCCUGUCAUGGUUAGUCACAAUAUAUAUAGAAAACAAGUGCACAAGAUAAAUGACUUUUUUUAUUGAUAACUUUGAAUAAGCACAUUACAUUGGAAGGGAAAAAAUAUUUGAAACAUAAAUAUUGUGAAAAGAACAAAUGUGCCUAAACAAAGAUUCAUGCAGGAGGUGUGGUCUAAAGAUCUUCAACAAGACAACCAACACCUAAGGCUUCAGUGAACUUUCUAAGUUUAGUAUUAAACUUGAAGCGAAACCUAUUAACAUCAUCACUGAGGUUCCUAAUCUCAGUGUUCUUUUCCUCUAGGUCAUCUUCUAAAACCCGUAACUCAGCACGUAGGCUAGCUUGCUUAGCUAAAAGCUCGGCUAUAAUAUUGGGAUCAUCUUCUUCAUCGCUGCUCUCGUAUUGUCCUGCACGACGCUUGAUUGACUGCUGUGGCAAGUGCCUCCUGAUCCUAGGGAGAGUAGUGGAUGAUUCCGUCUUCUUGGCCUUGCCACCCAUCUUUCUACCAGCAUGAUUGCCUUGCCUAUCACCACUAGGGGCUUUUCUCUUAAGUCCUAUGUUGCUAGUGGAUGAACGGGCAGUAGCGGGUAUGUUGGCAGUGCUAUUGGUGGGCGCUUUGUGGUUUGCUGGUAACAACGCUAAUGGCUUUCUCUUCUCAACAUAUACCUCCUUGCUAGAACUCUCUUGGUAAGGUGCUAUGUCUAGAUUGGCUAUGGUCUUGAGAGCAUUGAUCAGCGAGAGGGCAUAGCUAGACAUGGUCACUACUGAAGAAUGGGAGAGCUUAGCAAUCUUCAUAAGAGGGAGAUGAGAAAUGGUUGGUGUGAGAAGAGAAGAGGCCUAUGGAGGAUUUUAAACGCAGUCUCUGAUCUUGAAACAACUUGAUCAUAACCAAGGAUGUGAUGCUAAUUAGUGUAGAAGAGGAAGGGAAAAAGAUUGGGGCUGAUUGGCGGACCUGGGGGUGUGCCUGCACCAGGGUGCGGCCGCACCACUGGGUCCACCAGUCGGCCUCAGUCUUUCAGGUAUUUCUUUCCCUCUCUGAGUAUUUCGCGAUCCUGGUUACGAUCAAUCGUGAUGCACAGUGGAAUCAGAGUGAUAGUGUAAGUGCAAUCAAGCCUAUUGUGGGUUUUGGCGUUGAUGACUACUGAAUUAGGGAACUAAUGAGAUUUGCUGAGAUGACAAGCAGGGAAUAUAGCAAAGAUGUUGUUGAAUACCAUGGAGGAUCCCCCAUUUCUAAAGGAUGGCUCUCCUAGCUCCAAAGGAGGUUUAAUUCAUUUUCGGUUUGAAUUUGAGUAUAGGAAAAGCUGUACUAUAAAGAGGGACUCCAAGUUUGUUGAUCAAAUUGUGAACCAAAGGCUCAAAAGCUCAUCAACAUCCUCAGACCCAAGCCUAUCCAGCAUAUCUUUCUCUCCACACUUUGGUGUUUUCAGGCUGGUUCAGGCAAGGGCGGCACUGUCGCCCUACCCUGUGACAGUUGGAGAGCUGGGUAUAAAUACCCUUUCAGACCAUCUCAAACGGUAACUUUCUCGUCUUCCUCGCUCCCAACCAUUGCAAACUAACCAGAGCUCACUUCUCUCUCCCUCCAUUGUUGCUCCUCAAGCCCCCAAGCCAUUCCUUGAUUCCAACCAUCAAAACUUGAGGGAAAAGGCAGCAAACUUCGAUUGGAGAGCAGAUCCAUUGAUUCCCAGCGUCAAAAAGAGCUUUUGGUUCACGUUUGGCCGGCUGCCUUGAGUUUGUUACUCUUCGAGCUUGCUCCUAGCUGGCUAGGCGUCGCCCUAGAGCUUGCCAACGUGUGUGGCAGCCAAGGGAAGGUUUGUAAGGUUACCCUUGCAGCUAAUACAUUCUUCACUCUUUGCAAGGGGUAAAAUCCUUGCUUUGAGAACGAGGAGAAGGUAAGCCUGUGUGGCUAAGCCGGUCCUAGUGUGGGCGCCUCAACAACGUGGAGUAGGCCAAGCCUUGUUGUGGCAACAGCUGAACCACGGUAAAAAUCGUGUGUCUUGUAUGCUUUCACUUGUGUAGGAGUUUGUGUUAGGAUUUGAGGCCGAUCUACUUGGUGGGGAGGCUCCAGCAUAUUCUAGCCACAUACUUGUGCUCUAACAUCUUGCAGGAAGCUUGGAAAUUUAGUCGAUCUAACUUUCCCUGGGUAAACUUUGAAUCAAUUCAGUUAAGCUUCUGUCUGUUUUUCUGUUGAGGCCGGCAGUGCCGCCCUAGGAGGGCCUCACUGCCGCCCUUGCCUGUGUGACUGAUAAACUUUGCUGAAAAAGUUUGAACAGGCCUAUUCACCCCCCUCUAGGCCACUUCCUGUACGUCCAGAGAUCCUACAGAUAGUGUGUGGGAUAGAGUUUUGAAUUUUGAAAACUCUCUAAAAGCUAUCACACUAUCAUGCAUGUAUGAGUGAUUGAUUCCCAUGAUCACAAAGAUUCAAAAGUGAAGAAAAGAUCAUAGAGGCAAUAUGGAGUACUCAUAAAUACAACAAAUGCACCAUUUAUUCAAAACAUAAAUAGAAAGAAUUUAUUCAAUAUAAAUAAAUAAAUAAGUCAAAAUAAAAUAUAUAUUUAUAUUUUUUUAUAAGUAAAAACUUACCUAGGGAUAACUUACCGAUUUACCUUCGGCAAGGGCUCAUCUUUAUUGUCCAUUGAGCGGGACUCUUCUCCCAUUACUUCUUGCAUGAUGAUGACACAUCCGUCUUGGGAGGAGUAGACGGUUGCACCUGCUUGGGCCUCCACUUUAGCAGUAUCACCUUUGGAGGUGUGGAAGUUUGUUCAACCUUUUGCUUUGGUUUCCACACCUGCUUCGGUUGUGAAGGCUUGGGGACUUCGUCCCUCUUUUCAUUCUUUUUAGGAGCUAUUUUCUUUUUUUGUUCUUUAUUAUUUUUCUUAGGAUCCACCUUUUCUGUUGGCUCUGGCUUUUUCUUAGAUAUUUUUGUAUUUUUAAUAAGUUGAGGCUGGAUCUCAACCUGCCUGAAGCCUUGGGGGUUUGGCCCAUAGAGGAUGCGUAUCAUGUUGCACUCUUGUUGACGGUGUGGCCUGAACUCAAACUUCUCUUCUUGGCCAUUAAUGUUGAAGCGGAUUUCUCCAGCCCCAACAUCAAUCUGUGCUCCAACUGUACUCAAGAAUGUUCUUCCUAGAUUAGUGGUGUUUCUUUAGUGAGCUCCAUGUUGAGCACCACAAAAUCCACUGGAACAUAGUAUCCUCUGAUCUUGAUAGGGAUGUCUUGAGCAAUCCCUACUGGGUACUGGACUGACGAGUCUGCCAACUGGAGUGUCAUGGUGUUGGCUCCAAGUUGGUGAAGUUCAACGUGUCAAAGACUGAUUUCGGCGUGACGCUCACACUCGCCCCCAAAUCACAUAGGGCGUGGUCGAAUUGCUGGGCCCCAAUUGAGCAAGAGAUUGUGGGGCACCUAGGAUCCUGCUUCUUCUCGGGCAGCUCAUUGAGUAUAGCUGUGCUACAUUCUUCUGUGAGCUUGACAACUUUAGUGGACAGCAAUGGUCGCUUCUUGUUGAUGAUGUGCUUGAUGAACUUGGAGUAGGACGGAAUAUGCAAGACAUCCAUCAAUGGUACACUGACGUGCGUCUUUUUGACCAUUUCCACGAAGCGGAGGAACUGCUCAUUUUUGUCCUCCUGUUGCUACGGCGCCCUUCCUGUCUUGUGGUUAGGAUAAGGGGGAUCACGAGUGGUCUUAGCCCCUCUCGUGGUCACCGCAUUUACAAUUUCCACAGAAUCAGGAGAAACAAUAGCUUUAGCGGCUGAAGCAAGAUGAGCUACUUUUAACUCGAUCUUCUUAUUAAAAGCUAGCUGAUCUCUAACAGAAAGGGUCAGGCCAUCAAGCUUUGUAUUUAUGUUGACAAACAUUUGAUCGUUUUCAGAAAGCUUUUUAACAAGAUUUUCAUUUAUUUUGGCCUGACCUAUGAUCUUUCAGCGAAGGAUGGGAGGAAAUAAACUGGAGUAAUUACCUUGGGGGCGGUUCUGGUUAUUCCGCCCAUUACCUUGCUGUUGUUGGCGGAACCCGUUGUUUAUGAACGAUGCGUCCUCCUGGGUUCUAGGGCAAUUGAUCCCCAUGUGGCCAACAUUCCCACAUUCCUCACACGUUAUGCGUGAGUCGAUGGCUUGGACAGUGCUGGUGGUAGGAUUAGUGUCCUGUCCGUCCAAUCUCUUCAUUAGUAGGUCUAUUUUUGCGGCAAGCAUAUCCGUCUCCUUCAUGGUAUGCAUGCCUUUUUGCGUUUUGUGUCCCUCUCCCCAACUCUAGUUGGCUACCAUCUUCUCAAUUAAUGUCGUAGCAUUAUCGAUGGUCAGGGAGAGGAACGCGCCUCCAGCAGCGGCAUCGACGUGCCCCUUAGACAUGGGCGUGAGCCCCUCAUAGAAAUUCUAAAGCACGAGCCAAUCUUCCAUCCCGUGGUGGGGGGAGGCCCGGAUGUACUCCUGGAGCCUUUCCCAAGCCUCAGGAAUGGAUUCGAGUGAAGUCUGCUGGAAGUUUGAUAUCUUUCCCCUCAUAGCAUUUGUUUUGCUCAGGGGAAAAAUUUCACGAGAAACACCGCGGAAUAUUUGUCCCACGUGUUGACAGCUUCCAUGCUCUGGUAGAACCAUUGCUUCGCCUUCCCCUAGAGGGAGAAGGGAAACAAGCGGAGCUUGACACUUUCAGGUGCGACAUCCUUGAUGAUGAUGGUUUCACACAUCUCAAUGGAGUUUUGUAGAUGCAUCUUUGCAUCCUCACUUGGCAAACCACAGAACUGGUUUGCCUGCACCAUCGUGAGUAGGCCACUGCGAAGCUCAAAGUUUCCAUUUCCAGUGCUGACUGCGGGCCCAACGGGCACAUUGGCAACAGCUGGGGUGGAAUAGUCGCGGAGUGACCUAGCCAUGGUGGUUGAAAUGGAUGGUGUGGGGGUGAUUGGUUCGACUGUCGGCAGCGUGGCAGAGGAAGAAACGGCACGAGUCCAUUUCUUCCUUAGGAGUGCCUCUGGAUUGCUGUUGAAGUUUGCCGGCAAGUUGAAACCACUCAUACACUAUCCUGUUUUCAUACCAAUAAAAAGAGGAAGAAAACAGCAAAGAUUGGCCUGCUUAAACUAUGGCUACCAAUGCUUAUUUUGUAAUCAAUGCUAAAUGCCAAAGCUAGAUGUUUGCAUUGUUCUUUGCCCUCCCCGGCAACGACGCAAGAAAUGCUUGUUGGCAUUUCUUAGCGUCACUACUAAAGAUAGACUAUAAAUCCAUCAUUAGCAAUGGCACCAGAAAUGUCGGGUGUUGGUAUACCAUAACAAUCGUUACAUCACAGAGAUAACCCAAGGCCUUUAACGGCAUCGGCCUUAGCAGUGCAGUCUGGUAACAAUAAUUAGGAAUGCCGGAUUGGCCAUCCUAACCAUCCUUACUUACGAUGUGCAAAGCUAUAGCACGGCGCCAGAUAAAUGCACAGAGUUUAUAAUCUUAAGUAACGGUACUUAGGUAUGCCAAUCAAUAGUUUAUGAAUAUAAAGAAUAAAACUGCAAGCGAACAGAACUAUCAUCGUAGCAUUUCAACCCGUGAGUAUUCAAGGGUUAUCAUAUUUAAUCCCAUAGGAGGGCGUAAGAAAUGCAUCUAGUUUGGUUUGUAGCAUGAUCACUUAUUGAGAUGCAUAGGUAGACAUAGUCUAAUCAGGGGUCACGGUAGGCUAUUAAAAUAUGGAUAGUGGACACACUCAUCGAGGCAACCUCAAGGAAUAAAGAGAAAAUAAGGAAAUAAAAGAAAUAAAGAACAACUACUUGAGCCGGCAUUGAUCUUAUAUAACUAUGCAAAGAAUUGUUAGUUGAACAUCUAAUCAAUAUAACUAGAGUUAGAACUAAGUCUGAGGCUCUAGGGAGAUCCCUGCAGCCGGACAUCCAGCCGAUAGGGACUUUACAGAACUCCUACCGGAAUACCUGAUCGUGGGGGAAUACCAGGGAUGACAGGGCUGUCACUACCCUACCACCUACCCCUCUACCCGAAAGAUACCCGCGCAUCCGCUGAUCUCCGCAUACCCGAGGACCUCGCCCGUGUAAUUGGAAACGCCUCCUAGCCUCCUGGGACCCCAACCCUUCGGAUUGACAGGCUCGGCUAAGAGUGGCCAUCACAGCCCAACGAACCAUUGCCCCAAUCGUAAUCCUUUGUCUAUUCAUACUAAUUCGAUGAACGAUGAAGAACAAGGAUGAACACAUCAAGAACAUAGCACAAGAACUAUGAACUAGUUCAUAUACUAUGAACAAGAUAUGAACACAACUAUACUCUAAUUCAAUUGCAUAAUCAUAUAAAUAAGAUAAGAACUUGCUCAUGGAGGAGUACUGAAUUGUAUUCAUACCAAGAAGCUCUAAGAUCCUCCAAGGAGACAAGCUCUCCUUGCAAGCUUUGCCUUGCUCUACUACUAAAUCUAAUCUAAAGAACAAGUGUAGAAAUGUGAGGUGUAUUGCUCCAAAUGAUGGUGUGUGUGUGUGUUGAAUGGUGUGGAGCCAUCUAUUUAUAGCCCAACAAGGACGGUUCAGGGCGAUCUAAACUUGAUAGGAGGUGAAACCGUCCUAUGCAUGCCUCCAUGCAACCGUUUGAAAAAGGUGGGACCGAGUUGCCGCCACGGGGGGUGCCCCCACACCAGGGUGCGACCGCACCACUGGUGGGCCCCCCUGGCCACCACCUUCGCGUGGUCGGUUCAUCUCUGGGCCCUGAUCCUUCCCGUGGUUACGGAUGGAUCCAGUUCGGUGUUUUGGUGGGCUUUUCCAUUUAUCCUUGAUUUGCGCCUUUUCUGAAUACGCUUUCUUGAAGUGCGCUUUCUCGUGUCUUUUGCGCCUUUCCACGUGUCAUACCUAAAAUUGAUAUUUGCAACAAAACUUGUGGAAAUGUUAGUUCAAAGCCCUACCAUCUAUUUAUUUUAUUUAUUAAAAUGAUGUUUACAAUUAUAAGAUAAGGGGUACCAACAGUGAGCUCAUCAUCGCAUGGAGCCGUCACACUUCGCAACAACAAAGGUAUGUUAUUCAAGGUAAAUGGUCAAUGCUUUAAAUUAUUUUUAGAGCCCAACAAUGAAUUAGAGGACGUAGACGUAAUUACUUUCUUUCUCAAUUAAAAUAUUUAGGCCCGACCAUUUUAAUCGGAGAAACUCAAAUUUUUGUGAAUAAAAAUAUAAUUAAUAAAGUAUACGAAAAAGUUGAGGCAGAGCGGGCUCGAAGGACGGGCGGCCGCCCAAAACCCUAGGGGCGUCUCCCCCGAGGCCAUUCGCCGCCGCCUUUCUCCAUUUACAUCUUAAGACCUUCCUUGUUUAUAAAAAGUGAAUCUUUUGAUUUUCUUCCCAUAUCUCGUCAUUUCACCUUCUAAAAAUACUUUUCUAGACUUUAUAUAAGCAACCCAUGCCUAUGGUGUAAUCUCAUCCCAUCAUAGCUCUUCUCUUCUCUUGCUUAGAAGCUAGCAACGCCUGUCUACUCAGCAACGGCUAAUAAAAAUUUAGAGAGGAGAAUGAUCCGCUUUGUGAUUGAUCCCAGCACCAUCCCUAGAGAUGAGCCUGAGUGCAAAGCUAUCAUUCCCAUAGAUGAGCCUAUCCAUUUAUCCAUCAUACCCCCAAAACCACGUUGCUAUGGAUGCUCUUUUUUUGCUCAGCCCAUUCGCACCAAGCCUCUGCUCUUGGAAGGAGCUCCAUCGAAGGGCCCCUUUACCGGUAGGAUCUAAUAUCCUAUCACAGAAGCGCAAUGAGAAGCUAUUAAGAGUGAACACCAACCGAAAGGGAGAGGUCGUCUGCGCCUAAUACACCACUGGCGAUCAUACCUACUUUGAGGGGGUCCAUGCUCAUCUGGUUAAAGUCAAAUUCAUCCCCGAAAGGAAGCUUCGAAGACCGCCAUGGCCGUAGCUGAGACUCUGCGGAAACGCUGCAAGAUGAUGGUAGACUUGGAGAAGGAGCUAGCUGAGCAGCGCACAAUAAUAGCCUCACUAGAAGCCUAUCAACAUGUCCAAAGUAGAUGCAUCACUUACAGCGACAUGAGAGUGUCAACGCUAGAGCAUGAUUCCACCGCUCUAAAGGAGAGGGUGAAAGCCCUAGAGCACCCUAAGAAGUAGGCUCGAUUUGUCUUAGCAUCCGAUAGGGUGAGUGUUAGUCUUACUAAAGUGUGUUUGAUUUCUAAAGUUUGCUAUUGUAAUAAUAAGCCCUACACGAAGAUGAAUUAAAUGAUUAUUAUAUGUCUUGUCUCUCUUUUGUCUCCACCAUGUUGUGAAUGAAGGAUAAUAGGAAACCAGUGUAGGGGAGGCACCCGCCAAUCAAAAUGAAUGAAUCCUCGCAAAAUGAUAACAAUAUUGGAGAAGACAUGAUACGAAGACCACACUCAAUGAAGUUGACCCCGAAGGGCCACUAGCCAGGGGCAGCCGCCCCAUUCUCUUUGGGCGCUCGCCCAAAGGGUGGAGAACCCUGGUCUCCGCUUCGAACUACGGUUAGGUAUAAUUUCCCUAUGUUAUAAAUUGUUAUUAUUGCUGCUGUUUCAAUUUCGAAUAAAAUAUCUUUAGUUAAAUCACCCUAUGCUUCUCCUCUGUAGCAAGAAUUAAUAUCCUACUAGAGCCCUGCAUGAUAGAUAUAAACUAGCUCAUAAGCUACUUGCUUUGUAUAGAGUUUUGUCAAACCUUAUUGACCUAUGUCGAGAGGAUUAUCAUACCCCUAAGAUCAAGAUCAUGUACACCCACAUAUAUCUGCCAUUGCUACAGUGGGAAUGCGCACAAACAUGUCUUUUCAUCCACUAAAAAUGUUUUACUCCUACACUGAGAGGAGACACAAAAAGAGUCUUAGUAGGAAUAAUUGCUCUAAAUUCUUUAAAAAGUCUGCCUCAAUAUUUUCUGGUUACAGAAGGAGGUAUGAGGCUAUGCAAAAUAAAAGUAUUGGAAAAAAGAGAGAAGAGAAAAAGGACAAGUGUCCUAGAAAGAAAGAGAAUAAAAGAUAUCCCAUACCAUCCUGUACAAAGACCAUCAGUGCUUCAGAUGAAGUAAGACAUUUUCAAAAGAGCAAUGUAGAAUUAGGAUUAGACACUAUAUAUUCCACACACACGCACUUCUUGAUCUAAGAGUAUGCUAUUCUCCUCCAUUGAUCUGGGUUUUGACUUAGCAAAAUAUGCAAGGUAAGUAUGUUAUUUCCUUGAAUUACAUUUAACUCCGUAUAAGCCUAUAUAGAGUAGGAUACAUAUGAUGCUUAUAUCAUACAUGCUUUGGUAAGUUCCACAAAUACCACCUAUAAUGAGUGAUUCGAGUGUGCUACAUGAUGGAGAAGGGUAAGCUAAGUUUUUAUUUGCAAAAAUAUUAUAAAACUCCAAGUGGUAGGGCUGAAGGGAAUUCACUCUAUUUUGUACUAUUCCAUCCUCAACUUCCCAAAGUUUUAUGGUAGACACUUUGAAUCCCACAGUACAGGUAUGACUAGGAAUAAAUCUAAUGAUGUCUUGGUUUGAGGUUAUGAUUAAAAUGAUCUAUCCUUUUUACUUGAGGACGAGUAAAAGAUAAGUGUGGGGAAGUUUGUUGAUGGUAGAUAACUCCUAAUUUUAACCAUCAACUAAACAUGAAAAAGGACCUAUUUGCAAGCACUCAGUAGAUAUAGGGUUAUCACUAACAGAAUUCUAGGAGUUUUGGUGAUUGUCUCUUUCUAUAGGGGGUUACCGGAAUAAUAACAAAAGAAGGUCCAUAUGUCAGAUUUACAUAUAGAGAAGACCCGAACGUCAACUCAGGAACAAUUUAAAAGACUCCAGGAGCCACCACCUGAAACCUAGGCCCACUUGGAAGCCACCCAAGGGAAGGCACCCCUGCCAGGUGGGGUGGCCGCUCGGGGCUCUCCACCAAUCGGAGUGAACCUCGCGGAUCCUGCCUCCACCGACUUUGAGGAUUAAUCUUAAGUGCAUGUUUAAGUCUGUUUGAUCCAAGGGUUGUGGUGAUUCCUAGGGGGCUAUAAAUAAAGACCCCGACCCCCUUGUAUCGAAUUCUAAAACCCUAAUUCAUAUUUUCUAAAGAGAGUUAGACGGAGAGGGGUGUCUCUAUAGGGUGAUAGCAACAAGAGAGAUUGAGAGCGUAUAGGGUGAAGAUAGGAGUUGAGGAAGCCUGGCCUAUCAGUGCCUUCUUCUUCGUAUCUUUAGGAUCAAGUGUCCUAACCUUUAGCUUGGUUCAAGAAUCGUUUGGCAAUUCAACUUUUAAUACUAGUACGUUAUUGUUUUUAUUGUUCUUUAGUUUACGAGUUUAUUUUAUUCACUUCGCAUAGGAAAUAAAGUAAUUAUUCAUAGCGUAAGCGUGGUGCUUGGGCUAGGAAUACUUGUAGAUACUCCCUAUUUGGCUGGUUUGUUGUAACUUUGGGGGGAAGUGACAAUCCUCUCGGGUCUCUGUAAUCCACGUCCCUUCAGGAGGUAAGGUAGGGUAUAUGGUACUAGGGUUAAGCACUCUUUGAGGUGUCUCUUUUCUCUAGGUACUCCCCUUAGAAUAAUAUCUAUACACUCACCAUAGGUUAGAAGAAGACUAAAGAAAGAGUUCUUUGUAUAUUGCUUAUAUCUCACUAUCUUGUCUUGCAACCCGUGGGUUGUAGGUAAGGUAAAGGUUAGUCUUUUGCACGCUUUCUCCUAGUGGUAAAAGAUAAAUAUGAUACUCUGGACUUAUUUCCUGAGUGAAGUGCUCACCGAUAUCCAUGCGCUUGCAGAUUAUUUCUCUUUGAUUCUAUCGUGUGCGUAACUAAUAUCAACAGCACAUAUGGCCACUAGGGUCCACAUCAGUGCAUGAGCCUGUGUGGGGCCAUGCCAAGUGGAGUGGAGAGGGGCGAGACCUCACACUCGCAGCGCCACUGAGGAGGCUAUCGUGGGGCAGCACGGAGUUUGCACGCGUGCUCGCAGGUGGGCACAGCCGUCACCAAAGCUGGGCAGGUCCGCCACGUUGUGUGUGUGGCCGGGCCACUGGGAGCAUCGUUCGGAGGUGGCCGUGAGCCUAGGCAUGUCCACACACGAGGUUGCAACAUUAGGGCGGGCUAGCCCCCCUGGAGAUGGGCGGGUGCUGCUAUGACAGGCCGCCUGGGUCUUAGAGCCAAGGCAGGCGGGCGCAGGUGGUCGGGAGGCCACCAUGUGCUAUCCGGAGGUUGCGCACUUGCCCGCCUAGGAACUGGCCGUCGAGGCAUAGGGGUAACCGCACUGUAGGAGGGACCGUGCGGGGCUACGAGACGGCUAGGUGCCACCUCGCCAUGGUGCGGUGCUGAGGCCACACGCAGACCAGGCGCCUUGGCCGCAUGGAGGCAGCCGUGGCUAGCAACAACAGCACCACCUCCUCCUCCCCCUUUCCCUAGUGACAUUCUCAGGCUAGUCGAACGUGUCCCUGAGCUAAUGGCCCAUAGGGGACAGUGAUCCACGUGCGACAGAGAUGCGGGAGAAGAGUAGGCAAUGGUGGCAGUGGAGCAGUGAGUGCCUAGUCAACAAAGUACGCCGGCAGCUGAGUCGAUAUCGACAUCCGUGUCGUGAUGGUCGGUGGAGACAGACGAAAUGGAGGCGGACUGUGUGCAGCCCGCUCGGAAGACGCGUUAGCGUCAGGUAACGAAUCGAUGACAACAACUCUAUGCCCAGUGACAGCCAUUGCUGGCUAGCCACCAUGGAUGGUGGCGGUGGUGGGCAUGGGUUGUUGUCGUGGAGCAAGCACCUUGGCCAGGCUAGAGCCGGCAAUUGGAGGAUCUGUAUGGGGGACGCCGGUGGAGCUGGCACUGGAGGCACCGACGGUGUCGAUGCCCUCGGAGGUAGUGCCACGGGCAGAGCCGUGGGUUAUGCCGUGGGUAGAGCCAUGAAUGACACCACCAAAUGCCAUAACAGAGGAGUGACAUUUGCACAUCGGUAAGCUCCAAAGUAGCGUCGUACAGGGAAACACUUGGGGUUCCUAUCGAGGUCGCAGCGCUCGCCUAGAAGAUGGUAGCCGCGAGGCUUGCCUUGGAAUUCCCAAACAUCCUACAGGAGUCCUGCCUGAAGGCAAUUGUUGCCGAAGUGGAUGCCCAAGGUACGGGCAUGGUUGAUCACCAUACAGAUGAUCUAGAGGACAAGGGAAGCCAUAGAGGCAAAAUUACGACGAGGUGGUGGCAUUUUACCACGGAGGUGAAAGUCGAUCCCUGAUGAUGUUCGCACAAACUGAGCUAUUCCACUCUGGGGAAGGGGAGAGCGAGAUGAUGAUAACAUGUUGCGAGUCGAAUGUAAAGUACGAGAACAGAGAGAAAGCAAUAAACUUGGGUGUGUGUUUCUUUAUUCAUUGAUCAUUAUUUAUACAGGUCGAGGGGGAUGGGAAAACUCUCCCCCCUAAUUAAGUAAUCGAGUCAAUGAUCGGAUCAUGGGGCCAUGCCCGUUGGGGAACCAAUCUUCAAGGACAUGUACGGAGUCAUGGAGGAAAGACCCGUUGGGGAACCAGUCUUCAUGGAGAAUCUUCCUUCCACCUCGGAGCCCUCACGGUAGACCCUAGGGAAGUAUCCAAUGAGAUCAUCCAAAUUUAACCGUAACAAAAAACUCCACCACUGGACUUUCUUUUCCAAAUCCCCCUCUCUUUAACAACCCCCACCCCUCUUUGAACAUUCUCGCGCGGUCCCCUAGCGGAGCCAUAGGACCCCUCUCCCCCGAUGGCAGCGCCGGAAUGGCUUGCAACGGAGCUCGCAUGGCAUGACCGUUAGUGGAGCUCGCACAGCCGGCAGUGACGCUCGCAUACUAGUGAGCAAGCAAGCAAUAAAGCACAAGGUACACUAGAACUAGUGAACUAAUUAUGCUACAUAAACAUAAUUAGAGAACAACUACUUAGAUACACAAGAUAAUUAGCACAAGUAUGAACAGGUAAAUACAAGCUACUCCCUCUGUCCCAAAAAAUUGAUGUUUUAGGAUUUUUAAGAUAGAUUAGUAGUGAAGAGAAAUGUCCCUAAUACCCUUGGUUUGUUACAUAUCAUUCCUUUUAAAAAGGGAUGUUAUGUGGUUUAGGUCUCUAAUAAAGACAUGCUCCAUGCAAGCAUGCAGAGAUCCCGUGCGGAUGACGGCACAUGUGUGUGGAUAAGGAAAUGCGCAGAUGUAUUGCACAUGCGAUGGAUUCUUAUGUGGCCCACACCCUUGUCUAAAACUCAGAACAUCAUUUUUUUCUAGGACAAAUUUUAAAGUAUAUAAUUUCAUUUAUUUGGGAUGGAGGGAGUAGUAUAGAGGAUGCAAAUCAAGUAGGAUACAUAAGUUGACAUAGACAUUUUUAUCAGGUUCAGUGGUUUGCCAACAACUUAAUCCCUGUUGAGGCAAGUCCAGUUGGGUUGCUGCCAAUCUUUCUAAGUGGCAAGGCCGCAAGAUUGCACUCAUCUCUCAAGGUGUGCUCCAAAGUGAGGUCUAGAGCACUUUAUCUAGUCGGACCACUUGACGCUCUUCGCGCCUUGCUCUACUAGUCAUAAUUGCACUUUGCGAGCACAACACACUUCACAAAAAGUGAAAAACAUAUGUGUAUAUGUUAUGUUGUUCGAAAAGUCUCUUAUAUAAAAAUUGUGCCAAAAAAUAUAUUGAAAUGGUAUUAUGAUAAGUCUGUCGGCUGACAGGUAUGAACGCAAAUAGGGUUAUAAAGGUAAUAUAGAGCCAACAGGCCAGACAGGUCUAGUGGGAUACUACAUAGCCAUGGUGAUUGUACAUUUAUCUGGAUUUUUUCCAGAAUUUUAGGGUACACACACAUGUGAGUGAGCGUUCAGUGCUGCUGCGUUUUUCUUGCGCACUGGAGGUUGCCUUCCAAUCUUUUGUUUGCGCCUAUGUAGUGUGAGUGGGGAGUUUUCAGUGUUUGUUGACCGGCAACCCAUCACUGGGGUACAAGGGACGAUAUUCGGAGGGCUUCAACGUACUCAGAACUCGGCGGUUAACAUGAAGAGGCGAAUGGUUUGUACAGGUUUAGGGUUUACGUCCAGCCAACAUUAGUAUUUUGUAUUGAAUUGAUCAGUAUGAUUGUGUGUCAUAGCCUUUCUCCCGAUCUAGAGAGCCCUGCCCUCCUUUAUAUAGCGCCAAAACAGGGGCAGAUCUGUGGGUAUGCCAAGUAGAUACCCUGCGAUCCCAGAAACUUUUCAAUAUAUACGUGUAUUUUUUGAAAAAAACAAAAAAACUUAGCAGGAGAAGGCUAGCCCUAGCCCAGCAGCCAGCGUCCGCUGGCUUGCAUGCAACAUGACCACGCAACCCCCCCUAGUAGAUGACCCUGUCACGUGACAAGAGGCCCACGAGGCUCCAUGCAGCCAUGGCCACGUUCCCUUCGAUCAUGUCCUACAAACGACCGCAGGACAUUGACGCGUCGCGUGACUGUCCGCUGCUGUUAUCCUAUUCCUCGUCUCAUUGUCCACACGGUGUCGCCAAGGAUGAACUGGCCACACUGCAGCAGGUGCACAGGAGAUGGAGGCAGGCACGUGCCACUACAAUACAUGCGCUUUCGCUAUUGUCUUAGAUUCGCUUAGUAUGAAACCUCGUCGAUUGGUACUCGCUAUUGUCUUAGAUUCGCUUAGUAAGAUUUAACUUUUUUCCUCGGUGUCUUUUGCUCUUCGUCAUCUCUUAGAUUUUGUUGUCUACUUAAUUUCAUUGCUAUUUGCUAAUGUCAUCAAAUCAUUGCUCGUGCAGGUACACUGAGAUUGGAGAUUUGCCCCAACAUCAGAGACAAUCUAGAUUGAUAUCAUGUCAGUGUUUUUGUAGUUGCAUGUGAAAAAUUGAUCUAUAAGAGAUCAUUAUUUUUAAUUAUGUGACAUUGUAUUUUUAGUAUUAUAAAGAGAGCGGGGAGCCGAGGAUAUUGUAUCUCAUUUGUAGAAGCAUGCAUAAAGAAGGUGUCAGCUAGUGCUGCUUUAAAUCCUUUCCCUAAUUGGGAGUCUCAUACUCUCUUUUAUGUCUAUAUUUAAAAUACCAGUAUGAUGUUUGAAUUAUUCAUAUUAUAAUUUGUGUAUGUUUUAAAUUUAAUCAUUGAAUUUAACACUUGUCUUGUUAUUUGGUGUGAAUAGACUGAAUAAUAUUAAGAAGUUCACUUAUUACUGAUGUCGAGGGCGUAAAUAAGAGGUACCCAACAAACAGUCAUAACGGAAAGAUCCAAAGACAAGUCAAGGAUCAAACUCGACAAUCCAGUACAAACACAGGUUCGCCAAAGCCGCGGCUCGACCAAUAACGGGAUAUCAACCCUAGCCUCGAAUACGGAAAUACGGUCGAGCGAAUGAUCCAGGGCUCGAUAAUCAGCGACUGUCAAUUACGGAAAGGGCGUCGAGCGAAUCGGCGAGCCUCUAGCGCAAAAGCGUUCCCCCGCCGCCUGUACCCCUCACAAAUCACUCUUGGUAUGAAUAAUAUUCAAUCUUCUUUCAUGAGCAAGUUCUAUUUAUCUUUAUAUGAUUAUGCAUAUGAACUAGAGUAUGGUUGUGUUCUUAUCAUGUUCAUAGUAUAUGAACUAGUUCUUAGUUCUUGUGCUAUGUUCUUGAUAUGUUCAUCAUUGUUCUUCAUUGUUCAUCAGAUUAGUAUGAUUGGGUUUAGAAUUAGGAAUGGGAUGAUGGUUCACUGUGCUAUGAUGGUUGCUCUUAGCCUAGCCUGUCACUCUGAAGGGGUGGGGCCCACGGGGGUUAGGAGUUCUUUCCAAUUACGUGAACAUGGUGUUCAGGUAUGCAGGAAUCAGUGGAUGUGCGUGUAUCUUUCGGGUAGAGGGUUAGGUGGCAGGGUAGUGAUAGUUAUGUAAUCCUUUGCAUUCUCCCACGAUCAGGUAUUCCGAAAGGAGUUCUAUAAAGUCUCUAUCGGUUGGGUAUCCAGCUGCGGGGAUCUCCCCUCAUCUCAGGCUUAGUUCUAACUCUAUUUGUUGCUAAUUAGAUGAUCCACUAACAGUUCUAUGCAUAGUUAUAUGUGACCCAUGUCUGCUCAAGUAGAUUUAAUUCUUUAUUCUUUAUUUAUUAUUUCUCUUAUAUUUUAACCUUGAGGUUGAUACAAUGUGUGCCCACUAUCUUGAAUAUCAUGUUUAUUCCUAUUUACACUAUGUCUACCAAGCAUUCAAUAAGUAAUCAUGUUUACACCAUGUUUGAUCCCUUUGCCUUCCUACGGGAAUUAUAAAUUCAAAACCCUUAAAUACUCACAGGUUGAAAUGCUACAAUGAUAGUUCUGUCCACCUGCAGUUAUAUUACUUCUUCAUUCAUGGACUAUCGAUUGGCGUACCUAAGUAUCGUUAUCUAAGAUUGUAAUCCUUGUGCACUUUCAAGGGUAGUGCCACAGCUUUGCAUAUCGCAAGUAAGGAUGGUUAGGAAGGUCAAUCCAGCAUUCCUAAUUAUUGUUACCAGACUGCACUGCUAAGGCCGGCGCCCUCGAGUUGUCAUGGGUUAUCUCUCUGAUGUAGCGAUAGUUACGGUAUGCCAACACCCGACAUUUCUAGUGUCAUUGCUAAGGAUGGAUCUAUGGUCUAUUUUUAGUAAUGACGCUAAGAAAUGCCAACAAGCAUUUCUGGCGCCGUUGCCGGGGAAGGCAAAAAUCAUACUGGCAUAAACAUUGAUUGCAUAAUAAGCAUUGGUAGCCAUAGAUUAAGCAGGAUAACUUUAAUGUUUUCUUCCUCUUUUUAUUGGAAUGAAAACAGGAUAGUGUAUGAGCGGUUUCAACUUACCGGCAAACUUCCACAGUGAUCUAGAAACACUCCUAAGGAAGAGAAGGGUUCGUACUGUCUCUUCUUUUGCUACGCAACCGGCAAGUGAAUCAACCAUUCCAGCACCAACCGCACCAAUCGCUAUGGCCAAGACACUCCGUGACUACUCCACUCCCGCUGUUGCCAACGUCUCGACUGGGCCUGCUGUCAAUAUGGGGAAUGGAAGCUUCGAAAUCUGCACUGGCCUCAUCUCUAUGCUGUAGGCAAGCCAAUUCUGUGGCCUACCAACCGAGGAUGCCAAUGCCCACCUUUAGAACUUCCUUGAGCUGUGCGACACCGUCGUCAUCAAGGACGUCACGCAGAACAGCAUCAGGCUCCGUCUGUUUCCCUUUUCCCUCGCCGGAAAGGUGAAACAAUGGUUUUAUCAAAACAAGGAAGCUGUUGACACAUGGGAAAAGUGCUCUGUGGCAUUCCUCGCCAAGUUUUUCCCCAUGAGCAGGACCAGAUCUCUGAGGGGGAAGAUCUCUAACUUCCACCAGUCUUCACUUGAGUCCAUACCCGAAGCAUGGGAGAGGCUCCAAGAGUACAUAUGGUCCUGUCCUCAUCAUGGAAUGGAAGACUGGCUUGUGCUCCAGAACUUCUACGAAAGCCUCACGGCCAUGCAAAGGGGCACGUAGAUGCCGCAGCUGGAGGUGCAUUUCUUUCUCUCACCAUUAAUGAAGCUACUGCCCUCACCGAGAAGAUGGUGGCAAAUCAAAGCUGGGGAGAAGGAAGGAAAACACAAAAAGGCUCACAAUCUGCAAAGGAGGCAGAUGUGCUUGCCACAAAAAUAUACUUGCUGCUGCAAAGGAUGGACGGACAAGUUGCAAAUCCCAAUAUGGGCACCGUCCAAGUAGUGAACUCACACACAUCGUAUGAAGUUUGUGGUGAUGAUGGUCAUUCGGGGAACAACUGCCCCAAAACCCAAGAAGAAGCAGCAUAUGUCAACAAUGGGUUUCGGCCACCAUAAUAAGGUAACAACGGGUGGAACAAUCAGCGUCGCCCACAGGGUAAUUUCUUCAAUCAGCCUUCCUUGAAAGAUCUGGUCAUAGGGCAAGCUAAAAUCAACGAGAAGUUGUCCUACAAUGACAAGAUCAUUGAGAACAUCAAUGCCAAGCUUGAAACUCUUUGUUCAUCUAUCAAAAGUCAGACGAGUUUCAACAAGAUGAUAGAAACACAAAUAGCAUAGAUAGUUGCAUCAAUUCUAGUCACUGACACAGAGAGCAUCCCAGGGCAACCGGAAACCUCUACUGAGUUCAUCCAUUCAACCACAGAAGAAUGAAGGAAGGAGAGUCUUGCCAACGGACUAUAAAUGUUGAGCCAUUGCCGAAGGCAUUUGGUAGUUAUCUAAAAAAACUAUAUAUAAUAAAAAUAAAAUUUUGUGCUAUUUGUGUCUGAAUAAAGAUAUCUGAAGGGGGCUCACGGCAUCAAGCAAGCUUGGGGGAGGUGUCCCCGCUCCGGUAUUAUGUCUUUUUAAAAAUUCUUUAAAUUUCAUUUUAAAUUCUCGUUUUAUAGAAAGUUUUUAUUUUUAGUUCCCAAAAGUUUCCCAUUCUAUAGUUUUAUUUUAGUCAAAAAUAAAGUUUCUCUGAUAAUCUUAUAAAAAUUAUUUUCUGGUAGAAUAGAUUUCCCCAUUUCCAAAUCUUAUUUUUAUAUACUUUUUCAAAACCAAAAAUAUUUUGAAUAAAUAUGUGGAGAAUCAAAAUCUAGAGCAAGAUUUCGAACCAAGUUUGAUCAUAACCAGAGAGACGUUUGGGGUGACUGUUGGAGCUAGCAGCCAAAAGGCCAGGCAGAAGCGGGCCCACCACUGGUGCGGGCGCACGAUGGUGCGGCCGCACCCUGCCCAAGGCCUGCUGGCCUUGGCCUUUGGGCAACGGCUAGUAGUCGUUGAGGGGGGCGCUCCCCCACCUGCGAUCAACUCUAUAAAUAGAGAGGAUCCUGGGUGGAGCACCUCACCCCUCUCACACACAUUUUUUUACUCUUCCCUUCUUCACUCUCUUGCUCAACUGUGCUUCAUAGCCUAUUCCACAAGCUUAGUGCAAGAAAAUUCUGUAAAAAACCUCUUGCACACUUCCCUCUCCAAGCAAAAACACCAUACACUUGUGCUAGCUCAUCCACCAUGAAUAGAAUUUUCGGGCUUAGAAGGAGCCACCGCCAACGCGGGGAAGAUCCACCAACCCCUGCAAGGAACGAGCAGCCGGCACAUGGAGGAGAGGAGGAGGAGCCACACGGCCAUGCCAUUGAUGAGGCCGACGCCCCCUUCAUCGACUUGGAGAGCGAGCAGGAGAUGCAGGGAUACAACCUCAUGAAGGAACAUGAGUUCCUCCAUUCGUCGGCAUUUGACCCCGCAUUCUUUCACCAAAUAGUUAUGGAUGUUGAGUUUGAUACUAUUUUUGAGCAUCUUGGUUGGAGUAGGCUUAACCCCAUUCAUGAGCUUGGGUCACGUCUUUUGACGAUCCAGAUUUUGGGCACUCUACAAAUUGUCAAUUAUGGUAUUACCUUCCGUUGCUUUGGAAGAUAUUUUGGUAUUUAUUGGAAGGAUCUUGCCAACCGUUUGGGUUUCCACGAGCGGUACUCCAUUGACUUAGGUUUCUCCCUUGGGGGAUACCAACGUCAUGCUUUCUGACAUUUGAUCUCGGGGCAACACGUCAUUGGAAAGUUUCAGGGGCAUUCUGCCAAACAUCCAUCACCCCACUCUGAGGCUUCUCCAUAAGUGGAUAAUUAGUUCGUUCUUUUCAAGAGAUGAUACGCAUCUUACUUACGACAUAGAGUUGAAGUUGCUUUAUGCUGUGCUCAAAAAGAUUAAGGUUGCACCUGUUGUUGAGCUUGUUAGUCAUUGGUUGCAUUCCAUUAAGACUUCAACUACUAUCAUGUGCACAUCUCUUAUUACUCGCCUUGCUGCAAGUGUUGAUCCUCAUGCUGCUAAUACCAUUAUUUACAUCACUACUCCUCGCAUCAUGAUUAAUGAAUCAUAUAUUUCGCAUGCACAUAUGAUUAAACAUGACGAAACAGGUAAAAAGAUUUUAUAUUAUUUUCCGAGAUAUACAAACGAGAUCCAGUUACCUAACCCGGAUCUCGCUCAGUAUAAUUCCCCAUCACCCACCUUCACCCUCAUUGAGAGGGAAGGAGGACGCAGGAGCUCUGUUUCUUGCAGGAACUCACAGUGGAGGGAACAAGAAGAGCAGGCAACACAAGCAGCAAGGGCAGCACAGCCAGCACCAUCCACACAGCCAGCACAGCACACUCCACCACAAGCUAUGCUAGGGAUGGGAUGGACCCCUGCUAUACCUGCACCCGAAUUUACCCCUGGGUAUGGAUAUGGUAUGGGAUACGUUCCUCACCCCUACGAGGCUGGAGGUUCAAGCUAGCAGGCAGGAGGGUCGAGCUGGCAGGCACACGGAGGCGCAGGCCUAUGCGAGCCAGAGGCAUAUGGAGCAAGGGGAUCCAAGCAUCACGAGCCAGGACACUCCUCAGAUUCCGAGGGAAUGCCACCCCCUGUUCGCCCUCAGGUUACACUGGACGUCCUCAACACUCGCAUGGGAGGACUGGAGCUCCAGAACAGGCAGAUCUAAGGUAUGCUGAAUGCCCACAUCUAGACUGCUACCCAAUGGCAUCAGUAGACCCAGCAGAGCUUCAUCGACCUUGAGGAUGCAAGGCGUUGCCGGCACGAGGCACAGAUGGCCUACCUGCGAUCCAUGGGACAUUUCCCUGGACCGCAACAGUGAGCUAGCUUGGGGGAGGACCCCCACAAGAGGUAACAUGUAUCUUACAUUCUUGCACUUAAUUUUAGUUCUUAAUUUCAGUAUUUAAGUUUCAGCAAUGUUUCAUCAUCUUUUAAAAAAAUUCCACUCUCAUGUGCGCUAUGAUAUGUUAGUUUCUCUUCUGUUGAAAUGAUGAAUAGUUGCUCUAUCUAUAAUUCUCUAGUAUCUAAGUUAUAAUUUAGUGUUCAUCAAGAUUUAAGUUUGUUGGCUAAAAAUGUCUCAUUCUGAGAACUUGAAAUCUUGUGGGUCGCAAAUGCAUGAUCCUUUUCUAAGUUGUUGUGAGACAUGAUAUGGUAUAAAUAGAUUUUGCUAUGACUUUGUUCUAAGAGAAACUUCACAUCCGGAGUUUUCUUUUCAAAAUUUUAAAACAAAGAGUUCCUCAAUGAUUAUGAAAUACCUACCAAGGCUAUAUGACUUGCUUAGUAGUUUGUACACCUUUAGUCAUAUAUGGCUUGCGGUACUUUGAGUUGAGUCAAAUCCCAGGAAACCUAGAGUGAGAUUAUGGUCAUGCACCCAUGAUAUGAGAUUCACGCACCCACCAAAUAAAGCCGACUCUCACACUGAGAAGUUGCGCACAACAUGCACCCUUCCAUCCACCAAAAAAUAUGCCAACUCUUACCCUGAGAGUUGCGCCUUAGCUUCCACCAAAUAAGUAUGCCAAACUCUCACCCUGAGGUUUGCGCAUCCCCAUACACAAUUUUACUCCUUACAUCACCAUCAUGACAUCUCUCCAUUUUCCUCUUUGAGAUCCCUUUGAAACAUGUGGGCACCAGUUAUCCAUGAAAAAAAUGAAGGAAAAGCCAAAGGGCAUGCACGGGAAAAUCAAAAUCCCCGUCAGAAUAUAUAUAUAUAUGAUCCAUUUUUUUAGAGCCAUAUGUUUACAUUCUCUCAUUCUCUUCCUCAAAUAAAGAGAGUCAUUAUACAAGGAGUAACCAAAAAUAUUUAGAUAGGACUACCACAAAAAAUUCCACACACUUGCACAUCUCAAUCAAGGUGUAUGACUUGUAUCUCCUCAUGGUCCGGGCUUUGACUUGGCAACACAAGUGUCGUAAGUACGCCCACCUUUAUACCUUCCCAAAGCUCCAUUCUCUGGUAGGUCUUAAAGGCAAACACAAAUGCCUUUGGUGGGGAUUUCAUACACAUUGAGCGAUCGAGAGAAUCAUUUGAGGAACUUAUUUAUUUUGCAAAAAUUUAUAAAACCUCCGGAUUGAUGGUCUAUCAAGGGAUGAAUGAAUGGUGAGUUUGUUACAACCAUUCUAUCAUGCAACCACACAAGAACUUGGAAAAGCUAUAAGCCCCAUGAGAAGUCAAGGUAAAGAGUGGACAGCAUGCCAACUUAUUUAAAUUGUGAAUGAAUGCUUUGUUAUAGGUAUGGUACUCUUGAAUUAUAUCGGCAUAGUAGCAACUCCUGAUCAACAACCAUACUUAAUUAUUUGCUCGAGACGAGCAAAGGUUAAGCAUGGGGGACUUGUUGGCAGUCAUUAUAGACCAAUCAUAAACUGCCAACUUGAUCCAAAAGGAGAAGAAGCAAUCAAAUUAUAUACACACAUGCAUUUUAUUACUAACAAGUUCAACUUGUACCAUAGUGAUUAUAUUUUGCAGGAAUUAUAGUUCAACAAGUGGAAAUGUGCCAUACCAUGAAGAAAGCGCAAAGUACCAAAAGACGUAUUCAAAAAUGCAAAAACCAAGAAAAUAGAGAAAGGCAUGAACAACGUAGAACUAGGACUAAUCGUAACCACGGGAGUGAUCCAGGCCCAAAGCCAAACCGAUCACGCGAAGGCGGUGGCCAUGGGGACCCACCCAGGGUGCGGCCACACGUUGGUGUGGGCGCACCCCUGGAGGCGGCAAACCGGGCCCAUCUUUCUCAAGCGAUUACAUGCCGCCAUGCAUAGGACAGUUUCACCUACUACAAAAUUUUUGGUGCAAAAGCUAAUCUGCAAACACAAAGGGCUAAUACCCGAUUCAAACGUUAAGGCGUGCCAGUCGAUUUGACCUUACAAUCGACAAAGGUGGUAACUCGAACACUUUGGUCCCGACAACAGCGAUGCACCCAGAUGUCACGGCCAAGAGGUGCUCACGCGGAACUUGAGAAUACGCCGAGUUUGACUCGACAAAUUCCUAAGAACUCGUAGUAAAAGGAAAAUAUGACGAAGUCGUCAAAAAAGUAGAUGCUAGAAUAUGUGUAAAAACUUAUGUUUGAUUGAUAGAUAGAUAUCCCAUUACAUUGACACCGGGUCUAUAUUUAUACCCUGACCAAAAGAGUUACAACCAGACACGACUAGGACUCAAAUUCCAAAUUGAACAGAAUCCGUAUACAAAACGAACUCUAAUAACUAAGAAAAACAUUAAACUAUCCUCCACAACCGAUCUGUACACGGCUAUGAGCCAAUCGGCAACCCCCGCAUCUUCCUCUAUGACCAUCGGCAGACCACCUUUCAUCGCCAUCGACAACCAUCAGCAUUGGCCAUCGGCAUGAACGCAUCACCACUCCUGGACUUAAUCAUAUUCGGCUGCUCUUCCAUCAGCAUCGACAUUCAUCGACAACUCCCUUGUAGACUAGUCACCAUUGCUCCAUCUGCCGAUCUACAUUUCAUUAACUCCAGGUGCGCUUCAAAAGAUACGUGUCCAAAAAUGGUGUCAACACAUGCCCCCCAAUUUCGGAGUAUAAAAUCAUUAAUGCUCCAAACUUCUCUUCAGUAAUGAUGCCUUUCCACAAUUACUCCUCCCAAUUUAGUAAUCAGCCGCCAAAUCUGAACAACCUCAGCCCGAUUAUCCUGCAGAUUCCUCGAAUUCCUGAACCAAACCUCCCCACUUAUGCGCUCAUCGGCAAUAUUACCGUUAGAGAAAACUGCUGAUGAACCGACCCGGCGAUCUUGCACAGUAAAAUAUCUUCAAAAUCAUGACCGCUUGCUGUCACAUCACCUUCGCAAUCCCUUGAUUAUCGUGCAAACAGUUACCAUAUCCACCUGAACACCGUCGGAUUUCACGGAUGCGGCAAAGAGAUAAGUCAGAUUUGCCCCUGCCCGUUUUGUCCUAUAAAUACUUCCUUCUCCGGUACUCUUUCUCCAUCUUGUCAUUCUACAGCCUCAAAUCCACUUUCCUGGCGGCGGCAUUGCCUGAGAACUCCAAGAACUCCAGCAAGGGCAUCCCCCACCAAUCUUCCAAGUCUUCGAUCCCUCCCCUUCCUCGGGAAGAAAUGGCCAUCAACUUCAUCGUUCCUGAGGUCAGCCUACCAUCCUUCUUUUAUACUUUUACCGUACUCCUGUUCAUCUGCAAAUCUAGUUACUGAGUACCUUUUCCCUUCUUUUUUGUUUCUUUUCUGUUCUUCCAUCCUCAAAACCUUUUAGGAGUUGGCCGAUAAAAUCGUGAUCCCUACCGAUCAACCACACUUCCAGUGUCUUGGCCCAUUGGGGAACCCAGAUCCCACCGAUCUAAUAAAUGCAGAGACAAAUAGAAUCCCCUUUAGAGCCGAGAACUUCUCCUUAGAUCUAUGGAAAGAUGCUUUCCAUUCCUGGCCCAGCUCUACCAAGGGAUGGAAAGACUGGUUCCUGAGAGUCAGUCAAUCGAAUGAAGUCCAAUGGGGUGAACAGAAAUUAGACCAAUGCAUCAGAUUUCUCUUGCCGAUAUGGAGAGGAAUGAGUCACUGUUGAUAGCUGCCUCGUACUUUUGGUCGGAUACACUUAACGCUUUUGUAUUCAGCCACAGCCCUGCUUCACCUACUCUUGCCGAUGUACUUAUGCUUACCGGCUUGGACAUACCAACUGCCGAUAAUAGUCAUCUAUUUGAUAAUAAGACCAGUUCUAAAGUAGAGACUCGCGCUAUCGGCGGUUGGUCCGGGUACAUACAGAAGUACCGUAAAACGGGAUCUGUUGGGGAAAGAGAAUAUGCCAUUUUCUUGAAUAUGUGGCUCGAUAAGUUUGUAUUCUACGGUCGAUCGGCAGGACCAACCUCUGUCUGUCUAUCGGCAGCAGAGAGACUGGCCAAUGGUGGCCGAUUUCCUCAUGGCCGAUGCUUGCUUGGUUCUGUCUACCACCUUCUCCACCAGGUAGCCAACAAAGUCCUGCUAGGCCAACCCAUCGGCAACUUAGGGGGACCCUGGUGGUUUAUCAACAUGUGGCUCAGUGUUCACAUGCACAAGCGUCUUGGAUUCGAUCUUUUUGCACAACGCUUUCCAAGAGACAUAGCCGAAGAUCACGAAUUAGGUGAUGAAGAAUCGGCAACUCGUCCACCUUUGAACUUUGGUGAGGCUGCCAUAGUUCUACCUGGUACUGGCGGUAAUGAAGACCAGAUCAGCCGAUUCUUCCAAACUCUUUAUGAGGGUCUGACCAAGGAGCAGCGAGCAUGGAUGCCCUAUGAAGACAUAGAAACCAGAUUCUCACUCACUUUCCAUCCCUUCGACAAUGCUCUCAAUAAGGACCAUGAUCUGAUGAUGGCAAUUAUUACUCCGAGAGCCAUACCAGUGAAUUUCUUUGGCAGUGGGAAAGCUUCCAAUCUGACUUACGAGUUCUAUAACCCAUCGGUGGCUCAUCAACUAGCCUUUGGACAGCUGCCGAUCGCACUCUGCUGCGCCGAUGUGAUGAAACCGAGGAAGGUCAUGACUAGCGGUCUUGAGUGGAUCAGAAUAGCUCAACUCCCACCAAAUGCCGAUACGUCAAACAUCGAUUUAUCGGCUUGGAUUCCAGCUCUCUUCAUUACUCAAGCAUACAAACAAUGGUGGGAAGAAUGGAAGGACCACCUAUUCUGCAGAUCGGCCCUCACAUACCGCGGCAUGAUCGACCCCAAAUACAAAGUUCCUGAGAAUACUGUAAGCUUUUAACCGAUGCUUCAAUCUUCUUUUAUUACUUUUAUUUCUAUCGGUAACUUACUCCUCUUUUAAACAGGUCGACGACGCACCACCGAUAGUUAGCAGAAGCAGAAUGCCGAUUGAAGUCCUUCCAUCAGGCCCGAUAUCCCUCAUCGGCAACAACGCACCAACCCUGGCAGCUCUAAUGCACCGAAACAUGCGCUUCAAAAAGAUCACCACCAAACGAGCCAGGAUACCUCCAUCAGCCGCUGCUGCCGCCUUGAUCCAAGCCUUCUAGGUAAAUUCUUGACUUGCUUCAAUUUAUACUGAUUCCAUUCUAUACUCACACAACCUUUUCAAUACUCUAUUAUAUCUAUACUCACGAAACUUUUGUUGUCGUAUCAGCAAACUAGCCAAUCGGCAAAGACCAGAAGUACCAAGGUGAGUGCCGAUGCCCCCCAGUCUAGCAAGAUCAAGAGGAAAGGCCCCAAAAGCACCAAGUCACAAGCGAAACGCUAGAGAACAGCAACGCCCUCUCCUCCUCCUCCUCCAGAGUUACUGAUUCAUGUGGAAUCAUCUCCUUCGCCAGAAGUUCAGACACGACAAGCAUCACCUCCACCCUAGCAACAAGAGGUACCUCGGCCAGAAGAGAUGUCAGCCGAUGUACUUUAGCAGACUGCUGGCCUAGUGGAAGCAAUCAUAUCAUCGGUAGUUUCUUCAAUCCAAAUAAGCACUGCUCCCCCUCAAGGUAAAGUACUGCCCAUGAAAUUAUUACCGAUGGAUCUAUUUUUUCAACUCAUAAUCAUCUCUGCUAAUUUUCAGCAGACAUUGUUCCAUCGGCAACUCUAGCCGAUCAAUCUAUAGUACUGUUGACGGUCCUUAAGUAUCAAAUUUAAUUAUCAAAUAAAUAAAGAAAAGGAUCCAAAUGAAAUCAACAUCUAGACUUAGGGUUUUAUCUGACAGAAUUCCACGAGUUUUGGUGUUUGUCUAUUUCUGCAGGGGGUUAUCAGGAAAUAUGGAAGAAAGGCCCACAUGUCGGGAUUACGUAAAGAUAUUAACGUGCUGCGCAAUUAUCUUACAUCUAGAAGACUCCAGAAGCCACGAGACCGAAGCGGAGGCGAAACUGGGCCAGAGGCAGGGCGCCCGCCCUCUCCAGGAGUCCAAUCAGGACUCUGCUUUGCGGGAGAUCUCCACCGAGCUAAAGGAUGAAUCUAAACCAUACAAUCUAUGUCGGUUUGAUCCAACGACCCAUAUUCACUUGAAGGGACUAUAAAACCAGACCCCCUGGCCCAUGGAGGAUAGAGCCUCUCAACCCUAAUUCAUUGUUCCAUCAAGGGAGAAGAAGCCUCUGAUCAAGAUUAGAGCCACCACAUCAAUUAGAUAUCUUGAUUAGCAUAGCUACAUAGGAUUAGAACUAGAAGGAGUCAAUCUUCGAUUGGUUUCCGGAUCUGUCAAGAGGAUUCUUGGUAAUUCUCUAAUUGUGCUUCCUAAUUAUCUUUGUUCUUCAAUAUUAUGAAUAUGACUUUGUUCUACUUCAAUAUAUUGCUUAUGACUUUGCUCUACUUGCUUAUAUUCAAGAUUAUAUUGUUCUUAGUUUAUCAUAGAUAUGUACUUAGCUUAGUUAGAUUGGAUCUAUAUACAUGUUUAGGAUCGUAUAGCGUUUAUCCAUCGGAUCUAUGGGUAAAUGAUAGAUAUUGUGUAGGCGUGGUGCUUAUACCGUAUUUAUCUGCGAUUGUACCCAAUAUGCCAGAUCGUGGGGUGGUUCGUGAUAGUGACAGCUUCAUUGAUUCUUAUAUAGUCCCCCUCUCGUGUAUUGGGCUGGCAGAGCAACAUUAUUACAGGGGAGUGAUUGCUAUGUUUCCCAUAUUCCUUGCUAAUAUCACUAUGCAUGGGCGUAGUCUUGUCUCACAAUGAUUGCUAAGUAUGCUUGCACUUACUAUGAUAAUGCUAGACUAUAUAGUUGAGAAUAACUUAGGGAAUAUUCUUGUAGUUCGUUCUAAUACCAUGCUAAUGACUUUCUAGAGUAUCUAAUUGAGGUGCUUGUCAUAUUUAUUACGUGGCUAGAUCAGAUUAGUUAUCCUUGUCUCUAUUAUUAUUUCAUAUAUCUUUUAUGUGACACUUAUCCCUGUAUGAGAAGUUAGAUAUAAUGUUCUCAAUUAUACAUGCAAUGAUAGAUGCUCAAUCUCAUAUUCUAUUCUGUAAUCAUUAGUGAUGAUUUCUAAUCCCUUCCCAGUGGUAAAAAUAUAAAUAACGAUACCUGGAAUACUUCCCGGUUAAAAUGCUACAUCGGUAUUUUGUGCGCUUGCAGAUCCAAUUCAUUAUUUAUUUAGAAGAGCAAUUGCAUAUUUCAAUACCGCGUCUCUCAUGUCAUGCUGGGGAUGACAACUUGGCUUAAGUGGUGUGAGGGAUAGGUUUGGCAUUUUUGGCACCGUUACUAGAUUUAGAGAACUUAGUCUACUUUUGGUAAUGAUGUUAAGAAUACCCAACAAGCAUUUUUGGCGCCGUUGCCGGGGAAGGUUGAUUACUAAUCAGGAAUGGAAUAAAAGAUUUUGAGUUAUCAUUCGCAUCACUAAUAUGAUUGAGCUUAUCUAUUCUCUCAUACAGUUUUACCCCGAUAUUUUUCUAUUUUAUCUUAUACAGGGGAAUGUAUGAAUAGAAGACAUCUUCCAGGAAAUUUUGUUGACAAUCCUGAAGCAUUAUUCAAGAAGACGAGAGCAAAGCUCAAGAAGAGAUCAUCAACAUUUCAGCAAGAAGCUUCAUCCAAUCAAGAAGAUCACCGGAACUUGUCUUCAGAGUUCGAGGCCAUGGCGAACAAAUCAAUCCGCGAGUUCUCAGCUCCCACUACGGACAACAUCCGCACUGGACCUGCUGCAGAGAUCGAUGGAAACUUUGAGCUCAAGCCUAGACUUAUCAACAUGGUGCAAUCCAACCAGUUCUGUGGGAAGGCACACGAAGAUGCUAGUGCUCAUUUACAACACUUCCUGGAGAUUUGCAACACAUUCACCAUAGCAGGAGUUUCCAAAGACGCUAUACUACUUCGCCUCUUCCCAUUCUCACUGUUAGGAAGAGCGAAGCAGUGGUUCUACGCUACAAAGGAGAAGAAUACUACGUGGGCACUCUGCUUAACAAACUUCCUGGCUAAGUUCAUUCCCAUGGGCAAGACCAAUGCUCUCCGUGGGAAGAUUACAAGUUUUCAGCAACAAAAUGAUGAAUCUGUUCCAGAAGCAUGGGAGCGCUUUCAAGACUACAUCCUAGAAUGUCCCCAUCAUGGAAUGGAGAGUUGGCUACUGAUGUAGACGUUCUAUCAUGGGCUCAGCAACAGUGCCCGAGAGACCAUGGAUGCUGCAGCUGGAGGAGCAUUCUUAUCACUUACUAUACCACAAGCCACAGCUCUUGUGGAGAAGAUGGCGUCCAACCAAAGCUGGAAUGAAGAGAGGACCCAGACACGCAAGAGAGGUGGAGGUAUACAUCAGCUAAAGGAGGUAGACAUGCUGUCUGCAAAGCUAGAACUGCUCAUGAAGAAGCUCGAUGAUAGAGCUGGAGACAAGAAAGAAGUUAUGCACAUCUACGACUCUCACAUGACUUGUGAGGAGUGUGGAGACACUGGACACUCAGGCAACCACUGCCCUGAGAUGCUUGAGGAUGUGAACUACAUCAACAACAACAACAACUACUACAACCGUCCUCAACAAAAUCAAGGUUGGAAUCAACAGAGGCCUAACUACUCAGGUAAUUAUCAAGGUAACAAUUCUUACAACAAUAAUGCUAAUAAUUUUCCACCUUUGAGAGAGUUAGUGUCUAAUCAAGGAAAGCUAAUGGAUAACCUAUCCAAGAAAUUGGCAUCUAAUGAUAAAAUGUUAGAAAAUAUAAAUAAUAGAAUGGAUAAUUUUUCUACUGCCAUCAAGAAUCAAAUUAGCUUUAAUAAAAUGAUUGAAUCUCAGUUAAAUCAAAUAGCUGCUGCUGUUCCUACUACUAACCCCGGUAUACCAUCACAACCGGAAGGAUUAGAAUCUGCAAAUCUUGUAGACAUGUUUGAUGCAGGUAAUUGGAGUAACCCCGUCAAUGAAUUCUCUACUGACCUUCUGCCGGUCAAGAGAGGCGAUCCAGGACGCCCCGUCAUCCCGAUCUCCAUCGGCAUGGUGGACGUUCCAGAAGCACUCUGCGACUUUGGCUCUAGUGUCAACAUUAUACCCAGGGUACUCUAUGAAAAAUUCUUUACAUAUCCUUUAUCAGAAACAACCAUGUGUUUGCAGUUUACAGAUCAGACGAUAACUUUUCCAAAAGGAAUAGUGAAGAACCUUUGUGUCCGAGUUGGUACCUUAUAUGCCCCAGCAGACUUCGUAGUGGUAGAGACCGGAAAUGAUGAGAGAGCACCUAUCAUCCUUGGGAGGCUAUUUUUGAACACCACGGGAGCUAUCAUCUACGCCAGUGCUGCCAAGAUCAGUUUCUACGUCAAAGGGAAGAAGGAGACAUUUUUCUUCAAGAACAAGACUACACAAAUUCAAGAUCAAUCCAGACGUAAAUCAAGGAAGAGGUCCAACAGGAGAAACAGGAACAAGCAAGUGUGGACCGAGUCAGCUAAGAUGGUCACUGUAGUCCAUGGAGGCCAAGAUCACCAACUUAAGUCACCGUCUUUGACCAAGAAGGAUGAACCAGGAAUGCCAAGCAUUUACUGCUCCAUAAAUGGAUACAACUUCUACAAGACGAUUUGCGACACCGGAUCGGGCGUCAACAUAAUGGCCGCAGUCACCUAUCGGCUCUUGUUCGGAACCAUGCCACUAAGACCAACAUACAUUCAGCUUCAGAUGGCAGAUCAGACAUUUCGAGAAGUUAAAGGAAUAGUAACUGAUGUCCCAGUCAAAAUAGACGAUCACUUUGUCUACACAGACUUUUAAGUUAUUGACAUGGGAGAAGAUGAGUACGAUCCACCCAUCAUCCUUGGAAGACCGUUCCUCAGCACCGUUAAAGCAAUUAUCUACAUUGGAACCGGAGAAGUCCAUAUGCACUUCCCCUCAGAGAAGGUACGCCGUUAUUUUACUGACCCUAACUAUAUCGUUGAAGAAUCUAAGCAGGUAAGAAAGCGACGCAACCGCAACCAGAGGAGGCAGAUCAUCAAGGACGGAUGGGCAGACUAUGAAGGAGAAGUUGUAAGGUCAGAAGACAUAGAGUUUAAAUAGAAUUAUCCAGAGGAGAUUGAAGCACCGAGUCAGGUAUGGAAAAUGAAGAUAACUAUACAAGAAGAGGAGGCGCUGCCGGAAGCACCGACUACGCCACCCAACGAACCUCAGGACAAUUGAGAAAAUGGAGAGUCCCGUUCGGAGGACUUAAAAACACCGAACGCCUUGCCAAGAGGUAAACUUGGUAGUUAUCCUUUCCCUUUCAAUUAUUUCAAAUAGUUACUUAGUUAAUUAAGUUCAUACUAUCUUAAAAAGAAAAUAAAAAUGUGAAAAAUAGUAAGCCCCAUGUGAGUAGACGAGUGGCAUAAAACCCAUAAGUACGUGGUGGCAUAAAAAUAAAAUAAAUAUUUUUCUGCUUUAUAAAAACAAAAAUAUAAAAACAGGGAGUAAUAUUUAUUAAGGAGUCUCAACAUGAAAAAGGCUAGAUAUUUAUGCUAACACUUAAUCAGUUCCACAAGCUUUGUUGUCUAUUUGAGCUCCACAGAAUUUAAGAAUCAAGAAGACUAGCAGACGUAGGACAUUAUAAUCGCUGUCAGAAUGCUGCCGACUUUCAAAUACACCUCCGCCACCUGUUAGCUACAUCAAGAGAAAUUACGUCAAAAUUCAGCUUGGGGGAGAGCACCCCCAUUUAUCCGAUAAGUAUUUCUAUCUAUCUUUAUACUUAUACUAUAUUAGAAUAUUAAAAUACAAAAACUAGGAAAAACCAAAUAAAGAUUUUAUGCUUAUAUAUAUAUGUCUUUUGCUUAGUGUGUUUAAUAAAUAAAUAAAGUGGCUAUGCUAAUCUGUAUCUAAAUAAAACUUAAGCAUGGAUAUGAUAAAUAGUUGCUCUGCCUAAUUUGCAAAUUUUAAGUUCUCUCUCAAGUUUAGAUAUAACUGUUAUAAUUUAAAGCUUGCUCUAGACCUAAACUUGUGGGAUGAAAACUUGAUCUGAAGUCUAAGUUGUUAACGGAUAUGAUAUGGGAAGGUUGAGCUGCUGUUUAUCUGUUCCUAGAGAUGCUAGAAUUCUGGAGAAUUUUAUCUUUAAAAAUCUUUAAAAUAUUGCAUGAUGAGUUCCUGUAUGAUGAGAGUUUAAAUUCCUACCACAGCCAUAUAUGCAUGCUUGCUAGACUUUGAGCCACACAUUUAUUAUUUACUACUUAUGAGCAUUGAGUGUGGUCAAGCUGUGUUGACCCUUAGGAGCUUGUCAUGUGGUUAAAUCAAGAUUUCACUUGCACGUUCACUCAUAUAUGCUACUUCUACUCCGGAAGUACCAUCCACAUGUAUUCACCCAUUCCAUCUCCAGAAUUACCCAAAAAAUAUUCUACUCCUAAUCCGGGAGAGAAUAACCAAAAAUAUUUCUGUUUUCCCCUUGUGAAAUAAAUGCUCAAGUUAUCUUGUUACUACCACUUGCUAUAUUAUCUCAAGAGAUGAAUGCUCUAAAAAAAAAAGAAAAAAAAAGAGAAAAAAAAAUAUACGAGGAAAUAAAAAGGAGCAAGUGCUCGGAACCUCGAAAGAAAAGAAAAGUGAGACGAGAGGUAAAAAUGGACAAGUGUCCGAUAGUAGAAUUAGGGGUACAAGAAACCCACCUGAGAGAAAAGAAAAAAUAUAGAGCAUCUCAUUCUCCUCAUAAAGUUUCAAAAAGCAAGGAAGGUAUGUAACCCCUCAAAAGAGCAAAGUAGAAUUAGACUUCCACCUCCAUUGUUUUCACCAUUGUUAUCACCAUCAUCACCAUACACCAUUCAUUCGCCACACAUGCACAUCUUGAUUAAACUUAUUGACUUGUUACUUUGGAUCCAUGGUUUGACUAUGCAAUAAAUGUCUUGUAAGUAUGUAUACUUUAUCUCCCACCUAUGAGCUCCAGAUAUUAAAGCCUUAUUAGAGUAGGAUGAGAGAGAAGGCAAUGUCACUAUGCCUCAUACCACAAAUACCACAUAUCUUGAGAGAAGGCAUAUACCAUCACUGCCUUGGUAAGGAUCCAAAAAUACCACAAAAGAGAGACCUGAGAGAAUCAUACAAGGAAUCUCUGAGUUUUAUUUGAAAAUCUGCAAAAACCCUAGAGCUAUAGCUGAUCAAGAAUAAGAGACAUGGCACUUGGCUAGACUGUUCUAUAUUUUAACCACUCAAGACAGAAGUGACGGUUACAAGUCCCAUGGUGAAGGUAAAUUAAGUAAGUUUUAAGUCUUGACAGUUUACUCUAACUCAGAGAUGAGAUCUUAUUUAAAAGCAUGUGUACGUCAAUUUUUAAAUAUAUUGCAACAACUUAUGAUCCAUAGCUGAGUCUAUCCUUGCUCAGGGACGAGCAAGAGGUAAGCUUGGGGGAGUUUGUUGACGGUCCUUAAGUAUCAAAUUUAAUUAUCAAAUAAAUAAAGAAAAGGAUCCAAAUGAAAUCAACAUCUAGACUUAGGGUUUUAUCUGACAGAAUUCCACGAGUUUUGGUGUUUGUCUAUUUCUGCAGGGGGUUAUCAGGAAAUAUGGAAGAAAGGCCCACAUGUCGGGAUUACGUAAAGAUAUUAACGUGCUGCACAAUUAUCUUACAUCUAGAAGACUCCAGAAGCCACGAGACCAAAGCGGAGGCGAAACGGGGCCAGAGGCAGGGCGCCCGCCCUCUCCAGGAGUCCAAUCAGGACUCUGCUUUGCGGGAGAUCUCCACCGACCUAAAGGAUGAAUCUAAACCAUACAAUCUAUGUCGGUUUGAUCCAACGACCCAUAUUCACUUGAAGGGACUAUAAAACCAGACCCCCUGGCCUCUGGAGGACAGAGCCUCUCAACCCUAAUUCAUUGUUCCAUCAAGGGAGAAGAAGCCUCUGAUCAAGAUUAGAGCCACCACAUCAAUUAGAUAUCUAGAUUAGCAUAGCUACAUAGGAUUAGAACUAGAAGGAGUCAAUCUUCGAUUGGUUUCCGGAUCUGUCAAGAGGAUUCUUGGUAAUUCUCUAAUUGUGCUUCCUAAUUAUCUUUGUUCUUCAAUAUUAUGAAUAUGACUUUGUUCUACUUCAAUAUAUUGCUUAUGACUUUGCUCUACUUGCUUAUAUUCAAGAUUAUAUUGUUCUUAGUUUAUCAUAGAUAUGUACUUUGCUUAGUUAGAUUGGAUCUAUAUACAUGCUUAGGAUCGUAUAGCGUUUAUCCAUCGGAUCCAUGGGUAAAUGAUAGAUAUUGUGUAGGCGUGGUGCUUAUACCGUAUUUAUCUGCGAUUGUACCCAAUAUGCCAGAUCGUGGGGUGGUUCGUGAUAGUGACAGCUUCAUUGAUUCUUAUAUAGUCCCCCUCUCGUGUAUUGGGCUGGCAGAGCAACAUUAUUACAGGGGAGUGAUUGCUAUGUUUCUCAUAUUCCUUGCUAAUAUCACUAUGCAUGGGCGUAGUCUUGUCUCACAAUGAUUGCUAAGUAUGCUUGCACUAACUAUGAUAAUGCUAGACUAUAUAGUUGAGAAUAACUUAGGGAAUAUUCUUGUACUUCGUUCUAAUACCAUGCUAAUGACUUUCUAGAGUAUCUAAUUGAGGUGCUUAUCAUAUUUAUUACGUGGCUAGAUCAGAUUAGUUAUCCUUGUCACUAUUAUUAUUUCAUAUAUCUUUUAUGUGACACUUAUCCCUGUAUGAGAAGUUAGAUAUAAUGUUGUCAAUUAUACAUGCAAUGAUAGAUGCUCAAUCUCAUAUUCUAUUCUGUAAUCAUUAGUGAUGAUUUCUAAUCCCUUCCCAGUGGUAAAAAUAUAAAUAACGAUACCUGGAAUACUUCCCGGUUAAAAUGCUACAUCGGUAUUAAUCUGUGCGCUUGCAGAUCCAAUUCAUUAUUUAUUUAGAAGAGCAAUUGCAUAUUUCAAUACCGCAUCUCUCAUGUCAUGCUGGGGAUGACAACUUGGCUUAAGUGGUGUGAGGGAUAGGUUUGGUAUUUUUGGCACCGUUACUAGAUUUAGAGAACUUAGUCUACUUUUGGAAAUGAUGUUAAGAAUACCCAACAAGUACCACCAGCUUCAACUAGCCAGAGGCGAGAAAUGUUCUGAAACAAGUAAGUCAUUUGAUCUCUGUUUUUCAUAUUACCAAUACUUGAUCAUCAAAUAACUUAUCUUAUUUAUUCUUCAGGAACAAGACUCUCCGGACAGUUUGUUCGCUUUUGCCAUUGAAAUUUCUGAUGAUGAAGGUGAGGAAGCAAGCUCUUCUCAAGCAGUAGGGAUUUCAUCGGCAGAAAUCAGAGCUAAACUAGAGGAUCUGCUAGCCCUGCUUCAUCGAGAUACAGCUCAAUUAGUCGACGACUCUGAUCCAGCAAAAGCUCUAUUCAGAGCCCUCAGAGGUCAAAUCCCCGCCGAUGCCAAAGAGACUCUUUUCCGGGCUGCACACUUAGAGAGCCACCAGCUUUAGUAUCAAAAGGCUGCCCAACGUCUUGUCGAUAGAACCACUCAUGCUCAGCUCUCGGAGGAGGUAAUGAAAGUGAAGUACCUUGCCGAUGAGAAACACAAGAGCAUCGGCAUUCUGAAAUCCUCAGUAGAUACGCUGAGACAAAAGAUCUCCGACCUAUCGGCAAAAAGGGAAGCCCUGUUGGUAGAGCUUAAGCAAGUAGAAGAGGCUCUGUCCCAAGCUCAACAGGAAGAAAGCCAGCUGCCCAAAACGAUCAAGACCCUCGAGCAAGAGCGAAACAUCCAAGCCCGCAAGGCACUGCAGAUGAAAAAGAAGCUGAAACCAGUGGAAGGCUCUGCCGAUGAAGACAUCAAGGUGAUAGAAGAAGCCGAUCAAAUGCGUCUGCGCGCCAUAUCGGUCAUCCAAACCCUGCUGAAUGUAUGAACUCUUCAUCGGCGGCGUGUUUUGCUCUUUCUUUAAAAACUCCUAAAGAUUUUAGUCUAGCCGAUAAGACUGUUAUCGGCAUCCUUUUGAAACAUCGUAUUCAGUCCCAGAUACACUUUAAUCCAGCCGAUAGGAGUGUUAUCGGCACUUAAACUUUAUGCAUCGACCCAUAUGCUUGGGUAAUAUCUCUUUAAAUACUUUCCAUUCAAUGCUCUAGGAAAUUCAACUCCUUCGAGAGUUUCCAAAAUAUAAGCAUUACCGGGAGCAGACCGAUUUAUCCGAUAAGGACCUUCCCAAUUAGGAGACCAUUUGCCAAACUUUGAACUCUUAGUCCCAAUUGGUAAUAUUAGUUUCCACAACAAAUCUCCAUCGGCAAACUCCUUAGCUUUUACCUUUUUAUCAUACCAUCUAGCAACUCUCUUUUUAUUUUCUUCUAUACUUAUCAAGGCCCUUAACCGAUGCCCUGCUAAAUCGUCUACCUCGUCUUUCAUCAGAGUAGCAUAGUCAUCGGCAGCCAGUUGAUCUUGAAAAGAUAGUCGCCUAGAUCCGGUCUUAAUUUCCCUUGGCAGCACUACAUCAUGCCCAUACACUAACUGAUAAGUUGAAACUUUAGUCGACCCAUGACAAGCCAUCCGAUACGACCACAAAGCCUCACUCAACAAUGUAUGCCACCUCCUAGGAUUUUCUUCAAUCUUUCGUUUGAUAAGCUUAAUAAUUCUUUUGUUAGAUGCCUCGGCCUGCCCAUUGACUUGAGCAUAAUAAGGAGAAGAAUUGAGCACUUUAACCCCCAUACCGAUUGCAAAUUCAUCAAAUUCUCUUGAUGUAAACAUGGUACCCUGAUCGGUAGUAAUCGUUUGAGGAAUACCAAAUCGGUAAAUAAUAUGCUCUUUCACAAAAUCAAUCAUAUUGGCCGAUAUUACUUUCUUCAAAGGAAUAGCUUCAACCACUUAGUGAAAUAAUCAGUGGCAACUAAGAUGAACUUAUGUCCUUUACUUGAUGGUGGGUAAAUUUGGCCGAUUAGAUCAAUAUCCCACCCCCGGAACGGCCAAGGCUUAAUAAUGGGAUUCAUAGCUGAUGCGGGUGCCCUUUGAAUAUUACCAAACUUCUGACAUCCUUGACAACCUUUGAAAUAUUUAAAGCAAUCUUCAAGUAUAGUCGGCCAAUAAUACCCGUUCCUCCUAAUCAUCCAUUUCAUCUUAAAAGCCGACUGAUGUGCUCCACACACUCCUUCAUGGAUUUCACCCAUCAAACUUUUAGCCUCAUCAUUACCUAAGCAUUUGAGGAGAACUCCACCUAAGUUCGAUAAUAUAGUUCAACCUCGAGGAGCACAUACUUGGUUGCUUCGAACCUGAUACGCCUCUCAACCUUCUUAGAUGGAUCCUUUAAAUAAUCAAUGAUCUCCUUUCUCCAAUCAUCGGCACUGGUUGCCGAUAACGCAUCCAAUAUGUGUUGAUAUCCCGAGGCAUGCUGAGCCAACCGAUUAGCCUCCUCAUUAUGUAACCGAGGAACAUGCUCUAAUCGGAAAUCCUUGAAUUUUUUUAAUAGUUGCAUACUCUUUUCAUAAUAGGUUAUCAGGACUUCGCUUCGGCAUUCAUAACUUCCAGCCAACUGAUUUAUGACCAGCAUAGAAUCCCCAAAGAUUUCAACAGCAUCAGCAUGAACCUCUUUUAAUAAUUCCAACCCCUUGAUCAAAGCUUGAUACUCGGCUUGAUUAUUCGUUGACGUGGCAACAAUCGGCAAAGAGAACUCAUACUUCCUUCCCUGAGGGGAAAUUAGUACUAUGUCGAUUCCUACCCCCCGGUCACACGUGGAUCCAUCAAAGAAGAGCAUCCACGGCACAAUUUCCAAAGUUUCCACUACACCGCAAUGUUGAGUCACAAAAUCGGCCAUAAUCUGCCCUUUAACCGCCUUAGCCGGUUCGUAACGUAAAUCGAAUUCUGACAGUGCCAAAAUCCACUUACCGAUUCUACCACUCAUGAUCGGCAUAGAUAGCAUAUAUCGGACCACAUCAUCUUUGCAUAUAACAGUGCAUUCGGCCGAUAGCAAAUAGUGCCUCAACUUAAUGCAAGAAAAGUAUAAGCAUAAGCACAAUUUUUCAAUGGCCAAAUACCUGAUCUCAGCAUUAAUCAGUCUUCUACUUAAAUAGUAAAUCACACGCUCCUUCCCUUCAAAUUCUUCAAUCAAAGCUGAACCGAUGACCAUCCCAUCGGCAGAUAAAUAUAAUCGGAAAGGUUUUCCUUGCUGAGGUGGAAUCAAAACUGGAGGAUUUGUUAAAUAAUUCUUAAUUUCAUCCAAUGCUAACUGUUGCUCUUCUCCCCACACAAACUCCUCAUCGGCUUUCAACUUAAGCAAAGGACUAAAAGCACGAAUUUUACUAGACAAGUUAGAUAUAAACCUCCUAAUGAAAUUUAUUUUGCCGAUUAGGGACUGGAGCUCAGUCUUGUUGGUAGGAGCAACUAUUUUGUUGAUGGCAUCAAUAGAUCUUCUACUAAUUUCAAUUCCUCUCUCAUGCACCAUGAAACCAAGAAAUUGCCUUACCGAUACACCAAAUGCACACUUGUUGGGAUUCAUCUUUAAACCAUGUUUCCUUGUGCAUUCCAACACCUUUUGCAGAUCGGCAAGAUGCUUGUGAAAUCCCCAGACUUAACCACCACAUCAUCAAUAUAAAUCUCUACCAGCUUGCCGAUGAACUCAUGAAAAAUAAAAUUCAUAGCUCUCUGAUAAGUAGCACCAGAUUUUUUCAAGCCAAAGGUCAUGACUAUCCAUUCAAACAACCCAACAUGACCAGGACAUCUAAACGCGGUCUUUGGAACAGCUUCCUCAGCCAUGAAUAUCUGAUUAUAUCCUACAUUGCCGUCCAUAAAGCUUAUGAUCCGAUGUCCAGCCGUAGCAUCGACCACCAAAUCAGCAACUGGCAUUGGGUAACCAUCCAUCGGUGUAGCCUUGUUAAGAUUCCUACAAUCAAUGCAAACUCGAAGCUUUCCAUUUUUCUUGUAGACUGGAACGACAUUGGAAAUCCAUUCGGCAUACCGACACUGUUGAAUAAAUUUAGCUUCGAUAAGUUUGGUUAUUUCCUGACUUGAUAGGUAACCGAUGUUCGACAAUCGAUCGGUCUAAACCAGGCAUCUCAGUAUAAUCCCAAGCAAAGCAAUCUUUAUAUUCCUUUAACAAAUCGGUCAACUGUUGCCUACACUCAGAAUCUAACUUAGCACUAAUAAAAGUAGGUAUAGGCUUAUCACCAUUACCUAUAUCUAUUUCUACUAAAUCAUCGGCCGAUGUAAACCCCUGGCCUAAUUUUCCAUCAUCGGCGAACCUAUCCAUUAAAAUUCCUCAUCAGAACCGACUGUUUGGAUCGGUGGAAUUUCAUAAUCGGCAACCUUGAGGAAAUCUUUCUCUCAAAUUUCUCCUGAAAUGCACCUGGUCCUUUCAUAGGUAUCUGCUUCUGCCGAUGCAAUGACGUAUGAAGAAUCCCCUAGGACAAUCUCAAUCUUGUCUCCUACCCACUGAACCAAACAUUGGUGCAUUGUAGACGGGAUGCAACAAUUGGCAUGGAUCCAAUCUCUUCCUAAUAGAAGAUUAUAAGCACCCUUUCCACUAAUGACAAAGAAAGUCAUCGGCAAGGUUUUGCUGUCGAUGGUCAACUCAACACAUAUUGCUCCCUUAACCGAAGACACAUUUCCUUCAAAGUCCUUUAGCAUCAUAUCGGUCUUGGUCAAAUCUUGAUCCCCUUUCCCAAGCUUCCGAUAGACUGCAUACGGCAUAAUAUUGAUAGCAGCCCCACUAUCGACGAGUAUCUUGGUCAUUGGCUGCCCAUCAACUCUUCCUUUGACACAAACAAAGCUUUAAGAUGUUGUCUUUCAUUGUCGGCAGGCUUCUCAAAGAUAGCCGUCAUCGGAUCUAGAGCCAGCUGAGCUAUUUGGUCGGAAAAAUCUAGCUCCUCAUCAUCACUGGUCGGCGCAAGGAACUCCAUCGGCAACAUAAAUACCAUAUUAACACUUGCCGAUGGCCCUUUCUCUUUAGGAUCCCGCUGUUGUUGAUCUCCAGACUUAGCAGAAUUUUCUCUCAACUCUUCUCAUCUUUCACGCUACAGCCUUCUUUUCUAUGUCCUGGUCAGCCCUUCUGGACACCAUGGAGGAAGUUGUGGCUGCCUUACCGAUGGACGAUGACUUUCCCUUGACUCCACUCGAUAAGUAUUAGCAUCCCUACAAAAUAUGAACUCAUCGGGAACUCGUGCAUUCGCAUGAGCCUGCCCCCCAGCCGAUCAUGAACGGAGGUUCUUCCCCUGAUCGGCCCGUUAAAUCUCCGAUCAUCGUUUUGAUAUUGCCAAUUAGGUCUAUCAUAUCGAUCAUAGCCAUUGCACUAAGGGCAGUCUCUAACAGUGGGCAAUUUGAUGUUUUGUUCCCAACAGUGGAUAAAGAAUGGGCAAUUCCAAUGAUCUUUAUGUCGAUUCCACUCUUGUUGGCGUCUUUCUUCUUCUCGAUAAUAAUCCUCCUGUUGGCACCAAUAUCGAUCUUUACGUUGCUGCCAGGUCUCCUGAGACCUUCUAUGAGUUAUCACGAUGCCAGAUCGGAAAGGCCUUCCUGAGCCUGUUCCUUCCUGGAUCAAACCCUUGCCUUUAGCGUCAUCGGCAGUAAUCUGAUGUUGAGGAUCUACCGAUGCGCUUCUUUCAGCUGCUUCCGACGUUAAAACUUUAGUUUUUCCUUUAGCAUCCAACAUAUUUGUAGGGAAAGGAUGCUGAUCGAUCUUCAUAGGCUUCUGAGCUUUGGAGCUGUUAAAUUUAAUUCUCCCAAAUUCUAUAGCCGAUUGCAGCUGUUGCCUGAAAAAUUUGCACUCAUUUGUGCUGUGAGAUGUUGCAUUAUGCCACUUGCAGUAUUUCAUCUUCUUUAAUUCUUCAGCCGAUGGGAUCACAUGAUUGGGUGACAACUUGAUUUGGCCUUCCUGAAGUAGAAAGUCAAAUAUCCUAUCGGCUUUGGUGAUGUCAAAUGCAAACUUCUCUGGUUCCUUAUGCCAAAAAGGGCAAGACAUCGUCUUCUUAUUUUUCACCCACUCUGCUAAGCUAAUGACUGGCUCUUCAUCAGAAUCAGAGCUUGCCGCUUCAUCAACGAAUGAUACCUUUUUGUUCCAUGCUCUCUUGGGUUCAAAAGGUUUAAUAUCUUGGUCAGAAAUCCACUGUACCAAAUGACUCAGACUCUCAAACUCUUGAGAAGCAUACUUGUCUCUGAUAUGUGGCAACAAUCCCUAGAAAGCCAAAUUGGCUAGGUGCCGAUCAUCCAGAACCAAACUAUAGCACUUAUUCUUAACCUCUCGCAACCUUUGCACAAAACUCUCAACCGAUUCAUCAUUACGUUGCUUCAGCCUGACUAAAUCGGUAAUCUUCUUUUCAUGAACUCCAGAAAAGAAAUAUUUAUGGAACUAUUUCUCUAGAUUGGCCCAAGUAAUAACUGAAUUAGGAGGUAAUGAAAUAAACCAAGUAAAGGCCGAUCCAGACAGAGAUGAUGAAAACAAGCGGACUCUUAAUUCAUCUCUGUUAGCAGCUUCUCCACACUGGAUGAUGAACCUGUUAACAUGCUCCAUAGUUGAUGUAUCAUCCUGCCCAGAGAACUUGGAAAAAUCUGGUACCUUGUACUGAUUUGGAAGUGGAAUUAAAUCAUAUGUAGGAGGAUGUUGACGGUCCUUAAUGCUCACAUUUAACCAUCAACUAAUCAUAGAAAAGGAUCUAAAUGCAACCAACACCUAGACUUAGGGUUUUAUCUCACAGAAUUCCACAAGUUUUGGUGUUUGUCUAUUUCUGCAGGGGGUUAUGAGGAAAUACGGAAGAAAGGCCCACACGUCGGGUUUACAUAGAGAUAUUAACGUGCCGCACAAUUAUCUACCAUCUAGAAGACUCCAGAAGCCACGGGACCGAAGCGGAGGCCGAGAGGGCUCAGGCACUGGGCGCCCGCCCUACCUUACUGGGCGCCCGCCCACCUGUUCUGCCCAAUCAGGGUACAACUCGGGGAUCAUGCUCCACCGACCUAAUACUUCAAGGGAAACCACACGAUCAAUGUCGGUUUGAUCCGACGGCCCAGAUUCACUUGAAGGGACUAUAAAACCAGACCCCCCUGGCCCCUGGAGAUCAUACCUCUUCUACAGAAUCAAAGUUAGGGUUUCAAUUCUUCAUCCAAGUAGAGAGGAUCCCUCUAGUUCUUCUAGUUCUACCUCUAGUUCAUCUAGAUCUAGUUCUAGUUCAUCUAGUUCUAGUUCUAGUUCCUCUAGUUCUAGUUCUAGUUAGUUCUAGUUGUAAUCUAGAAAAUAGGGAGAGAGAAGAGGAGAGCGGAGGAGGAGGAGCCGGAUCUGUCGGAUCUUCCUCAACAUUGUACUUUUGCAGCAUCUGGUUCGUUCUUCAUCGUUCUCCAGGUUCUUCAACUCAUAACUCCUGAGUUCUCUAAUUACUUUUAUUACAUUCAAGUUAUUUAUUGGAUUCCCGCUUGCAUCAAGUGCUCUAAUCUUUGAAACAUUAGAGUAGUAAUUAAUAGAUUAGACGUGGUGUUUAGUCUUGCAAUUACCUGGAAUUGCACCCAAUCCUGCGGAUUGUUGUGGUAGCCUUAGGGUAGUGACAGCCCUAACGGUCGACGUAUUCCACCACGUUCGGAUCGGUGUUUGUAGGACUGUAGUCAGACCUUCCUAGCCCCCUUCUCAUCUCUUUCUGUGGUUAGUGCUCUGAUGUCCCGAUAUAGAUAAUCUUGAAGUAAUUCUUGAUUCUUAGAUCAACUAGAGAACUCUCAGGAAACUUCCUCUCUUCCCACCAAAAAUAAUUAUAUAGUUAUCCUUGGGCGAUCUUGGAUCUUAAUUAGUACACUCACGUUCUCUGUGGAAAAUCGAUACUCUGGAAUACUCCCGGGUGAAAGCUACAUCGGUAUCCGUGCGCUUGCGGAUUUUUCUGUUUGCGUUUAAAAUACCCAACAAGCUUUCUGGCGCCGUUGCCAGGGAACGGUAGCUGUGCUAGUUUCGAACCAAGUCGUCCGUGUAUCCUUUUUAUUUUCCUUUUUUACCACACUCACCUUAUCAUUUUCACCAAACCACAUGGAUUUCAUUCUAAGCAUUAAUGAGCAUGGAAUUUAUUUCAUAGCCACUUCAUUUACUCCAUGCUCAUAUGCAACAUCUUCACAAUCCAUUGGUCUCUCCAACAUCACCACAUUCGAGAUCUCCAACCCCCUCUUCCUUUCUAUUCAUAAAAACUUUAAAAGGGCGGUUGUCGAUGCAUAUGUCUAUAUUAAAUAUUGUAGAUCUCGUUGAGUUGAUCUUGAUAUAGGUCAGCGUUGGAGGGGAAACCACUUCGCCGACAUAAAUUAAUGGUUUCCCAAGGACAAGCUUAGCGUCCUAAAAUAAGCACUGAUCAGACCAUAACAUAAACUUUUAAUUAUUCGCAACAUUACCUUGUGUGUUGAGCAUAUCAGGAUAAUUGUAAAAAUAUUCCUUCGGGUAUUCUUGUCACUAACCUUUCCAGGAUUGGAGCAAGAAGAUCGGAUGAAUGACAAGCACAAGGUAUGUCCAACCAAUCAUCAUACAACAUUGAAUUAAAUUCAUCCAAACUUGAAUUUUGCAAAAUUCAAGCUUGGGGGAGUAUUUUACAUAAAAACAUCCUUUGCCAUGUUGCUAUGUUGGUUAUCCCUACCUUUGAGACAUGCUCAAUUUGUUAAAUACUAAUCACACUACUUCAUCUCCACUUGAGUAGAUCUCUAUAAAUGCUCUCAUGCUACCUUUACUUGCUUUAGUAUAUGUUUAGGUUUGGAGUAGUUUCAUUUAUCUCUUAAUUAAGCAUGGUGCUUAGUUAGGAAUGAUGAUCUUACUUCCAAGGGAUUUUAAAUUAAGCAUGAUGCUUCGGUUAAAAUGCCCUCCUAAAAUCAAAUUAGACAUGGUGUCUAGGUUGAUCUUUGAGCCGAUAGUAUGCUAUAGUAGAUAUUGGAUAUUUUGUUGGACUAACCCCUGCAGGAAAACUUUAACUAUUGACCUGGGAAGUCCUGAGAUAAACUCACAUUGGAGACAAAGAGAGACACACACGAAGUUUAACAAUUUACACAAGGAAGGCAUAGCUCACAAGAGAUGAUCCAUGGAGGGUGCAAAAAAAAACACGAUGCACAACCGCUAAGAGAGGAAAGCUUCCACAAGGUGAUACUGUACCAUCACUCUUCAAGUCAGGUAACAUCUUAAAGUACUUGACUAUCACUUUUAUAAGCUUCUCCUUGGUUCUGGCGUUCACAUGAGUAAAAGAGACAAACAUGUAUGAUUUACAACUCUAGAUUAACCAACCCAAUCGAUUCAAUAUGUUUAGUCCUUCCACCUUUGUGAUCCCACACUCCUAAUCAUAUGAGCUAAAAUGUUGCACACUCAAUCUUUGGAAGAUAUAUAUAUAUAUAUAAAACAUAAGUAUAGAUAGAUUAUCUUUCUAUUAGGUUGAGUGAUCUGAUCUGACGAAUGUUUUAAAUGCUACACUCAUGAUCUUAUUAUCCAUCAACUGUGUCUUGCUCACUAUGCUUAAGGAUAGAGAAGAGCAAAUACACUUUUGGUUCUGUUGGUGUUUUCCACCAACAGGGCCCAUGCACUUGAUCUCUGCCUUGUCUCUAUGAGCAGGUACAUUUCGAGCAAAAUAUGAAGGACUUUUAUAACUCCCAGACUCCACCAAGUGAAGAACCUAGAUCUACGAGCACAAACACACUGGAGAUACUGGACACUCAGGCAAUCACUGCCUUGGGAUGCUUGAGGACAUAACUACUGGAGUAACCCCGUUGUGGAAGUAAUUACUGACCUUCUGCCGGUCAAGAGAGUCAAUCUAGGACACCCUGUCAUCCCGAUCUCCAUCGGCAUGGCGGACUUCCUAGAAGCACUCUGCGACUUUGGCCCCAGCGUCAACAUUAUGCCUAGGGUACUCUAUGAAAAAUUCUUUACACGUCCUUUAUUAGAAACAGCCAUGUGUUUGCAGCUUGCAGAUCGUACGCUAGGGAAUAUUGAAGAACCUCUGCGUCCGAGUUGGUACCUUGUACGCCCCAGCAGACUUGGUGGUGAUAGAGACUGGUUCUGAUGAGAGGGCACCCAUCAUUCUAGGGAGGCCAUUCCUGAACACCUCGGGAGCAGUCAUCCACGCUAGUGCUGCUAAGAUCAGUUUCUACAUCAAGGGGACGAAGGAGACGUUUUCCUUCAAUAAUAAAACUACACAAAUCUCAGAGCAAUCCCGACAUGAACCAAGGAAGAGGACCAACAGGAGGAAUAGAAACAAGCAAAUGUGGACUGAGUCAGCUAAGAUUGUCACUGCAGCUCAAGAAGGUCAAGAUCGUCAACUCAAGUCGCCUUUCUUGAUCAAGAAGGAUGACCCUGGUGUUCCAAGCAUCAAGUGCACAAUCAACGGAUAUUCUUUUCACAAGACACUCUACGAUACUGGAUCUAACGUCAACAUAAUGGCCGCAGUCACUUAUCAGCUCCUGCAUGGAACCAUGUCCCUACAACCAACAUACAUUCAGCUCCAUAUGGCAGAUCAGACAUUCCGAAAGAUUGAAGACAAGUACGAUCCACCCAUCAUCCUUGGAAGACCGUUCCUCAGCACCGUUAAAGCAAUCAUCUACAUUGGAACUGGAGAAGUCCACAUGCAUUUCCCCUCUGAGAAGGUACGCCGCUAUUAUACUGACCCUAACUAUAUAGUUGAAGACUCUAAGCAGGUCAGGACAAGAAGGAGACGACGCAACCGCAACCAGAGAAGGCAAAUCAUCAAGGAUGGAUGGGCAGACUACGAAGGAGAAGUAGUAAGGUCCAAAGACAUACAGCUUGAACAGAACUGUCCUGAGGAGACCGUAGCACCGAGCUAGGUGUGGAGAGAGAAGAUAGUUAUACACGAAGAGCAAGCGCCGCCGGAACCACCGACUACGCCAUCCAGCGAAUCCUAGGACAACUGAGAAGACGGAGAGUCCCAUUCGGAGGAUUUAAAAACACCGAACGCCUUGCCAAGAGGUAAACUUGGUAGUUAUCUUUUUCCUUUCAAUUAUUUUAAAAUAGUUUGCUUAGUUAAUCAGGUUCACAUCAUCCUAAAAAGAAAAUAAAAAUGUUAAAAAUAGUAAGCCCCAUGUGAGUAUGCUCAUGGCAUAAAACCCAUAAGUACAUUCACUGUGGUGGCAUAAAAAUGAAAUAAAUAUAUUCCUGUCCUAGAAAAAUAAAAAUAUAAAAAAAAGAUUGUGAUCCUACUAAAGAGAGUAAUAUUUAUUAGAGGAGGCUCAACAUGAUAAAGGCUAGAUAUUUAUGCUAACACUUAACUAGUUCCACAAAGCUUUGUUGUCUAUUUGAACUCCACAGAAUUCAAGGAUCAAAGAAGACUAGCAGAGGGAGGACAUCCUAAUCGCUGUCAGGGUGCUGCCGACAUUCAAAUACACCUCCACCACUUGCUAGCUACAUCAAAAGGAAUUACGUCAAAAUCCAGCUUGGGGGAGAGCACACCCAUUUAUCCAGCUAAGUGUUCUACUCACGUUUAUAUUUUACUCAAAUAAUAAAAUGAUGCAUAAUCAUAAAAAUCAAAAUAAAGAUUCUGUGCUUAUAUAUAUCUUUGCUUAGUUUGCUAAAUAAAUAAAUAAAUAAAUAAAGUUUGCUAUGAACCCUCAUGAUAAGCUCUCACAUGGAAAUGAUGAAUAGUUGCUCUGCCAUAACUAGUUCUUAAAAUUGAAAUCUCUCUCAAGUUUAGGCAUGACUGUUAUUAAUUAAGAUUUUCUCUAAACCUGAACUUGUGGGAAGAGUACUUGAUCUAAAGUCUAAGUUGUUAACGGAUAUGAUAUGGGAAGGUUGAGCUGUUGUUUAUCUGUUCCUAGAGAUGCUAGAAUUUUGGAGAAUUUUAUCUUGAAAAUCUUUAAAAUGUUGCAUGAUGAGUUCCUGUAUGAUGAGAGUUUAAAUUCCUACCACAGCCAUAUAUACAUGCUUACUAGACUUUGAGCCACACAUUUACUUUUUACUGCUUAUGAGCAUUGAGUGUGGUCAAGCUGUGUAGACCCUUAGGAGCUUGUCAUGUGGUUAAAUCAAGAUUCACUUGCACGUUCACUCAUACAUGCUACUUCUACUUUGGAAGUACGCAUCCACAUAUAUCCAUCCAUUUCCAUCUCCAGAACCACCCAAAAAUAUUCUACUCCUAAUCUGGGAGAGAAUAGCCAAAAAUAUUUCUGUUUUUCCCCUAUGAAAUAAAUGCUCAAGUUAUCUUGUUACUACCACUUGCUACAUUAUUUCAGGAUACGAGUGCUCUAAAAAAAAAGAAGAAAAAAAAACAAAGAAAGAUACGAGGAAAUAAAAAGGGGCAAGUGCCCGGAACCUCAAAAGAAAAGAAAAAGUGAGACGAGAGGUAAAAAUGGACAAGUGUCCGACAGUAGAAUUAGGGGUACACGAUACCCACCUGAGAGAAAAGAAAAAAAAGAGAAAAAAAAAUAUAGAGCAUCUCAUUCUCCUCAAAAAGUUUGAAAAGAGCAAGAAAGUUAUGUAUCCCCUCAAAAAAGCACAAGUAGAAUUAGACUUUCACCAUUGUUAUUACCGUUACUUUCACCAUUAUCACCAUUCAUUCGCCACACAUGCGCAUCUUGAUUUGACUUAUUGACUUGUUCUUCUGGAUCCAUGGUUUGACUAUGCAAUAAAUGUCUUGUAAGUAUGUAUUAGCUGUCUCCCACCUAUGAGCUCCAGAUAUCAAAGCCUUAUUAGAGUAGGGUGAGAGAGAAGGCAAUGCCACUAUGCCUUAUACCAAAAAUACCACAUACUGGAGAGAAGGCAUACACCAUUACUGCCUUGGUAAGGAUCCAGAAAUACCACAAAUGAGAUACUAGAGAGAGUCAUACAAGAAAUCUCUGAGUUUUAUUUGAAAAUCUGCAAAAACUCCAGAGCUAUAGUUAAUCGAAGAACAAGAGACAUGGUGCUUGACUAGACUGUUCUAUCUUUUAACUACUCAAGACACAAGUGACGGUUACAAGUCCCAUGGUGAAAGGUAAAUGAGUAAGUUUUAAGUCUUAACAGUUUACUCUAACCAGAGAUGAGAUCUUGAUUAAAUGCAUGUAUAUCUUUAAGGCAUUAAACCACUGCAGAAACUCUUGAGUUCAUCUUUGCUCAAGGACGAGCAAAGGUUAAGCUUGGGGGAGCUUGUUGACGGUCCUUAAUGCUCACAUUUAACCAUCAACUAAUCAUAGAAAAGGAUCUAAAUGCAACCAACACCUAGACUUAGGGUUUUAUCUGACAGAAUUCCACAAGUUUUGGUGUUUGUCUAU